AGAGGAGUAGGAAUCUGAACAAAACGCAGUUACAAAAGAGAUGGUCGCAGUUUUCCGCUUGUACCGCACAGAAGACGCAUUGUGGGUCCAAAGGCAUGCCUCGUUUGAGCAGUCUGUCAGCGGUAGAUAGUCCUUUUCCGAAGUAACAACCAAAUGAAGACUUUAAUAUGGAAUAAAUUGAUGCCAAUAUUCAGGUCGUAUGCUAUGUCUAUUUUUUUUAUGACUCAUAUUUUUAAAAUUAAAUUUUAGUUUGAUAGAUAUAAUCUGCACCAUCUAGAUAAUGUAUAAAAAUUUCGCUGUUUGAAAUUUAAGUCAAGUUUUAUAUUUGGUUCUCAAACUUUUGAUUUUGACAUUUAGAACUUUUAAUAACAUUUUAAUUUAGUCUUCAAACUUUCAAUAGCGUUUCGUUUCAAUCCUUAGCUCGGAUUAAAAAUUAUUAUGUGUACCUAGCAUAACAUUUCUCAUAAUAAUAUACAAUCAAAAUAUUAAUUAAUAAAAGAGGAAAACUACAUUCACGCUAAUUAUAUUUGUUCUCUCAACCGUUUUCUGAACUUGCGGGAUGAAAAUGAAACGUGUAGUGAGAAAAUAUGAUGAAAAAUAUUUUUUUCUUAUUUUUGUGAGUGAUAAAUGGUUGUGUAGAUCACAUACCACCUUAUACAUGCAUAUAAUUAACAAAGCUUUUAUAUAAUUGGGUGGAUUACAAUUCACAAACUAUAUAUCUUCUUAGUAGUGCAUAAAUAGAAAGGUAAUGAAGAGAGAGAAACAAAGAGCAUGUAGAGAGAGAGAGAGUACAAACAAAACAACACUAAUGCAUAUAACCUAAUAAAAAUGCACCAUUCUCUCUCUCUCUCUCUAGACUUGGUGGUCUAUUUGGUGGUGCACUUGCAUGUUGAUCUUCUCCAUAGGCUUGGUGUUGGUGGUUUUAGCGGAUUUGGAUUCCUCCAUCUCGAUAGAGUCGUCUUUUGUGGUGUCGCGCCCUUUGCGGUCUCUGUAGAUCAUGUAGAGGAUCAGUUGCAGUGCACCGAGAAAGCUCCCGCACCCGUUAGGCACCUGAAAUAGAAAGAAAGAAAUGAAUUAACACUCUCUUAAACUCCGAGCCUAAUGUCAAAUAUAAACUAGCUUUAUGAUCUUAAUCUGUAGCUAGUUAUAAAUUCAAAACAAGCGAAAUGAAAUGUUAUAAGAGUUUGAGUUUGGUUACCGUAACGAAGGGAUCGCGACCGAGUAGGCCAUAGAUGAACCAUGAUGUGCCACACAAGAACACAAACAAUGAGAGGAAAAAGGGCAUGAACUCCACACUCUUGGUUUUAAUCACCAAUCUCUGCAAAUAAAGUUCCUUGAUGAUGUUGUUGAAAAAUAAAAACAGCAAUUGCUUACGUAUUCUUGAAAAGUUUCAGACUUUCUUAUCUAUUCUGCAUAGAAGACUAAUAUAUAUAUAUAAAAAAAAACUCUUUUAAUGUUUCAAUUUUUUCAAAUAUCCGCUUAGAGUUAGAUUCGGUUAGUGAAUAGUUAGGAACAACUGUUAUCUAUGUGAAAUUACCAUUUUACCCUUUCGAACGUAUUCUUCUGCCGUCACUAACUUUUUUUAUUUGUCCUUAAAUUAGGAACAAAAGAGGUAUUUUGAUUUUUUUUUUUUUUUUUACUCGGAUAGAAAUUUAAUCCGGGUUUAAUCUAGAAUGACUUAACGGAUACUAACAGUGGGGUUAUUUUUAAAUAAUGAAAAAAUAUAUGAGCGUGUUUGAAACCAAAAAAAAAAGAGGAAUGUAUGGAGUAUUUCAAAAAUUUUGAAGAGUAUUCAGGGUAAUUACCCCAAAAUAAAAAGAGCAUGAUACUACACCAAUAUAUAUUGUUGUGUGGAACUAGACUACUAUGCUAUUAAUAGCACCAAGUUAUUAGUGUUAUUAGAUUUUUGACCCUUAAAUAAAAGGAUAUGCGGUUAGGAUGGUAGUGAUCCCCUAAAGUUGAAGAGAUGAAAAUGGUCAAAAGGAUCAGAUCUAGCUAACGCCGAAAAACUCGAUAGCGCCAAGCGCUUAGUGCUAUCGAUAGUAUAUAUAGUAGCCAGACCCUUAUCGUACGUACUUUCAUAUUCUAGAAAUUUAUAUAUAUCUUACAACUCAUAGGAACAACGGUGAGAUAGGGUAAAAAAAUGUUACCAUGAUGGAUAGCGGAGAAGCAUACAUGCAGAUGGAGAAGAUCGUCGCAGCGGAGCCGCAGAAGAGCUUACGAGACUGCCCGUGGAGGGCGAGCAGCGAGAUCAGGACGACGGCCGCGAAGAUGGAGCUGACAAUCAUGAGAAGGCCCAGCAUCUUCAUCCUAACUUUGCUCGUCGACGCGUAAGUUAGGAAUAUGAUCACGUAAACCAGCUCAAUGGCCGUGCCAGCGCCGUUGAUCGUCGACACCAGUAGGUUGUUCGGCGAGACGAAUGGCAUGCCGUACCUUCAUGUAAGAAAAAAUUAAUGAUCAUCAAAAUUAAAAGCUAUGAAAAUAAGAGAUUAGACAUAUCUAUCAAAUUAGAAAAAUUUGAAGCGUAAAGAGUAUCGAAUUUAAAUUUCAAAUUUUCUUGGCCCAUUUGAUGAGGGCCCAAACAUCAUUGUCUAGGCCCAUGAGAUUUCAUAGUCAAUAAUAAUUAAUAGAAAAUGUGAUAAUUAAUAGCUUAUUUAUUGGGAUGCAAAUAAUUGUUUAAUUAUUGAGGUGAAGCUUUUCAAUUAGUUGCAAUGAACCAAAUCCUCAUUUUGUAUGAUUGAUGCUUAAAGCUAAAAUAUUUAAUGAGAUUUUUGAACCCAAAAUUUAAUUUUUUUUAAUAAAAUUUUGCCUUUUUACUAUAGUAAAAACUAUUAAUUAGUCCUCACUCUUUGAAUGAUGGAAAGAGUUUAAUGUAACCCACAAAAAAGUACCCCCAUUAUUCCACAUUUGAAAUAAAGAGUACACAAUUAAUCAAUUGCACUAUAUUCCUCUAAGAUUUGAAUUUAGGGUACAAUUUUAGAAAAAAACUUUUUUCUUUUUCUUUAAGUGAUCAAACUAUCGUAGUUUAAGUGGCAGAAGAAUUCAGCGGGAAUCGCGAUCUUUAAGAUAUAUAUUUUCUACGCAUUUAAUUUGGACAGCCUAAAUUCAUUUCGCCACACGCAAUGACCUUUUUGCGCAGGCAAACUCCGCACGUGGGGCUGCAGAAAACCUAAUCAGAAUCCUCAUAAGAUGUAAAACCUUCAUAACCUACAAAUGAUCGGAUUUUUAAAUAAAACUUCUGAAAAAGUAAUUUGAAUGAGAAGUGUACAUCAUUCUUCGCCGUUGAGCUCCGAAUGUAGGAUGAGUCACAUGGCUCACCAAACUUACUCCGCGAUAUCUCGUUGAGGAGCUCAUCAACAAAAUCGCAUUUAAACUUCUUAUAUAUAUAUAUAUAUAUAUAUAUAUAUAUAUAUAACUCAAUAAUGAGGGAAUAAUUCAUCAAUCACACCAAGUUAAAUGCUUCACCUUCUAUCAUCAUCAACAUAAUAUUAUAGAUGGAACGUUCACGACUCUGUUACACGUUUUUGGCACGCUUAACACACACGUGUUGGGCGCGUCCACAAUAGUGUGAUUCCCCUUUUCACAAGCAACAACACAUUGUUUUGGCCCUUUUGGUCCCAACCAGUGCACAUAUGUACUACCUUUGCUAUUUUUGGUCCCCAUUAAAGAGGAAAUGAUUCAGCUGUGGACCUCUUUGAGCCUUUGCUUGGUUGGUUGCGCACAUGGUUUUGUAUUUUUUUGUUCAGAAGUUUAUAAAUUACUAAAUUACAAAAAAAUUUCUUAUAAGUACUCGUUUUUUCACCUUUUCUCUCUAAUUUUUAAAAAUCUAUAUUUUAUUCACUCAACAUUUCAAGUUAUUGCAUUUAGUUUCUCUCCGUCAGGGUUUUAUCACUAUUCUGCCCAUUUCUUAUAAAAUUUAUAUCGAAAAUGUCAUUCAAGAUGACAGAAAUAUAUUAAAAAUUAUUUAUUCUUUAUAAAAGAAGUAAUUAAUGGCAAUUUGGUUAUUUGCCCUCUCCAUUAACGCCGUACUCCCCUGAAAAUAUUUCUGAAAUUAUAAGAGAGCAAAAUAUAAGUUUUUAAGCGAGUAUUUACAUAAGAUUUUUUAUAAUUUAGUCAUUUGUAAAAAUGUUUAGGUAAAGGCAGUACUAAUAAAUUAAUUUGUUCGGUCCUUAUUUUUAUCAUAUAUCUUGUUAUUCAAAGAAACGGUUCAGAAUUAGUCUUAACACCCCUCUACUUACAUGCAUGAUAAAUAUCAGGUGAAUGGUGUCUUGUACAUCGACUGAAGACGUAACAGGAAGAGACAGCGGAAUCGUAAAACAAAAAUAUUUAGCAGAUAUAGAAACCAAACAUAGAGGUAGGAACCAAGCUAUGAUAAUACAUAUGUUAAUACAAAAGCUUAAACUAUCAGAUGGAAAAGUUCUUUUCAUUAUAUACAGUCCAGGAUUCUUAACAGUAUAAACCAAUGGUAAAAACGUAGAUAACUUAUAUGAACUAUAAAUCAUUUUGAAUUGGCAACUUAAUCUUUUAAAAUUUAAAUUUCACCACCCAAUAUUUCAACUUGUUUGAUUUGAGUCAGGCAACGACACUUCAACUUCAGAAUUUGAAUAUGUCGUUUUUCUUUACAUGUUUAAAGUUAAAGUAUUAUUGACCAGUUCAAAUCAAACAAAUUGAAAGAUCAAAUAGUAAAAUUAAAAUUUUAUAGUCAAUUCAAAAUGAUCCAUAAUUCAAAUAUAUAUAUAUAUAUAUAUUCAAAACUUAGAGGGUUUAAAAUAGUCUUAGUAGUGUACACACACCAUCAAGGGGAACUUGGUCACUUAUUUUUCAGAUAUAUUUUCAAAAUUUUAAAUUUCAGUAGCAUGAUGAGCUCUAUACUUUUUUUUUAUCUUUUCGCUAGUUUGAAAUUCAAAUAGAACAUCAAAUUGAUUUAAAAUUUCACGUACCAAGCAGAGAGGAGGCAAUUGAGAAGGGUCAUGUUGUACGGCACGCCGGAGAAAUCCUCCGUCGAUUUGUUCUUUUGGAUCCUCCGAAACGUGAGACUGAUAAAAUAAUAAUAAUAAUAAUAAUAAAUAAAUAAAUAAAUAAAACUUUACAAGCAUGUUAAAAUUGUUGUAACACGGAGUCAGAGAAAUCUAGAGAAAGAAACAUUUAAAUUAGAAUAUUUACGUGAAAAACUCUUUAUCGCGACACAGAAACUAAAUCAUAUCAUAAAAAAUAGUAUUAUAUAUAUAUAUGUAUAGUACUUACAUGGGAGAUAAAAAUAGAAAUAAAGCAGUGACAUUUCCUGCAUAAAGUGAGAGAAAGAGAACAAUUAGCAUAAUUAUUAUCAAACUAAAGAGAGGAGUGGAGAGGGAGAAGAGGUAAAAAAAUGAUUGGAGAAAAAAAAAAAAAAAAAACAAGAGGAGAGAGAAAGAGAAGAAGCACUUCUCACCAAAAAUUCCAAACAAGAAAUGUAACACAUGCACCACAUCCAUGUCACUCGUGCUUCUCCCAAAAGCUAUAUAGCCAACAAAUUAAUUAAGCCCUAAAGAUGAGCUCUAAAAGCUCUAAGAAGAAGCUGUGCUUUUUUCCCUUCUCUUUUUUUUUUUUUUUUUUGCCUUGGUGAUAAGCAACAAAAGAGAGAGAGAGAGAGAGAGAGAGAGAGAGAGAGUUAUAUGAGUAUAUGUGUGUAUGUAUGGUUUUUAUGUGAGAAUUGGUUUGUACAUUUAUAGGGGAGAGCUUUAGCAUGCUAUUGAAUUCGAUCUUAUCCAAUGAUCUCAGUAAAAAAAAAAAAAGUUUUAAGGGAUUUGUGUUUUGAUGUGCAUGUUUUCGAGUUGUAUUUACUCUUGAGUAUGCUCCUUUUAACUCUUUUUCUGAUACGUUACCAUCACUAUCUAGUACAGUUAAUUUUAAAAGUUAAUUGCAUACAGGUCCCCACAAGUCCUAAUAUUUUUAGAUAUUUCCAUUUGGUUUGUUACCAUUAGAGAACCGUUAGAAAACUGUUUAUAUUUUCAAAUUUUCCAUCAUAAAUAUGUCAUUCCAAAAAUUAUAACAGUAUAAUAUAAGAGGGGUAAAAAUAUCAAAAAUUAACUUGAGUAAAGUAAUUUACCUAUGGUUAAUUAAACUUUUCUAACGAAUUUUAACGGUAUGAACAUAUCUGAAAAUAUUAGAAAUUUUGUAUGGAUAAUUUAUGAAAGUUAAAUUUUAUAGAAAUAUAUCUGCAGCUCACUAUGUUUAUAGGGACCUGUACGCAAUUGAUCCUAAUUUUAAUAUCCUUGUCCCCAAAUAAAAGAUCUGAGGUUGGAUUUUUCACGUGCAUGAUCAGCUUUAUCAGAAUGGGCAUUUUAGUCUCUAACUUUUCGAGAGAAAAAUAUAUGGGUUACUUAACAAAAAUAAAUUAAAAAAUUUAAAAGGAACCUUUUUCUGCUAGGUUUGAAUUUUUAUGGAGAUCUAAGAAAAGGUCAUUUUGAAAUUAUUAUCAAGAACUUUUGGCUAUUUAAAUUUAAGUUAAAAUUUAACUGAAGAAUGGUCAAAAUUGUCGUUUUUGUUACGUAUCGCGCGACUAUUAACAAUUGAAAAGUAUAUAUUCAGAAUAGUUAAUUUUUUAUAGAAUCUAUAAUUAAACACAUUUUCUUUUCAUUUAAGCAAUAAAGAUGAGUUAGAUUGGAAAAAUCAAAAGCUAAUUAUAAAACUAUUUAUCAAUAGUCAAAAAAUUUAUUACAAAUGUGUUGAAGUCCAUGUACUCUUUUGACCUUUAUGCUUUUUGUGUUUGCCUUUAAUUUUUCCUAUUGUGAAAGCUCUCCUAGUUAUUUUUCACGAGGGAUAAUUAAUGCCUUUGUUUUAUUUUUUCUUAUUUUUUUUAUUUAAUUUUGGUAAAUACAUACAGAAUUUAUCUAAAUUAUAAGCUAUUUUGAGUCGACUAUUCAACAUUUCAAAAUUUUAAUUUUACUAUCUGAUUUUUUAAUUUUUUAAUUUGAGUCAGUCACUGAUAUUGACUUUAAAAUUUAAAUGCGUUGCUUAUUUUUUUAGAUUGAAUUAGUAUCCUUCAUGCAAUUCUCACAACUAUAAAUUUAUUAACAUAAAUAAUUAAUUUAAAUUUUAAAUUGUUGAAUAAGACAAAUCAAAUAAAUUAAAAUAUUUGAUAGUAAAAUUAAAUUUAUAAAAAGUUAGCAGCCGACUCAAAAUGAUUUACAGUUCAGAUAAGUUUAUCAUUUUUUAAAAUAUUUAUUUUUUUUAGAGAGGGUGUGAUAUAGGGAUGUCAAUAAUGGAUAUGAAAAUCCAAAAUUUUAUCUAAAUCCAAACCCAAAUGAAGUGAAUUUAUCCGUUACUAAAUGGAUAUACUUUCGGAUAUGAAUAUAAAAAAUGAAAAUCCAACGAAUUUGGAUUCGGGUAUAUAUUUUGAUUAUACCCGACCCGAAACCAAACCCGAAUCCGACCCCGACCCUGACCCCGACCUCGAAAUUAUUUUACAUUAUAUUUUAUAUAUAUAAAUAUUUGAUAUUAUAUUUAAAUUUAUAUUUUAAUAAUUCAAAUUUAAUAUAAUACUAGUGUAGACAUCCGCACAUAGUUGCGGGUUGAUUUCGAAUAAAUAAAUAAAUAAAUAAAAUUAAAGAAAAAAGGCAAAAAAAAAGAGUCAAAAAAUUUAAAAAAAUUAAAAAAAAACAAUAGCUGCUGCAGUAAAAGAAUAAAAAUAAAAAUAUGAGAAAAAUAUAAAAAGUAAGAAAAAAUUAUAAAAAUAAUAAAUUAUAUUUAUAACAGUAGUAAAAAUUGAGGACUAACAUGUCAUGUGCAAGCCUGAAAUUUCGCAAAAACAUGUCAUGUGCUUCAUUGUGCAAGUUAGAAAUUGCGACUUAUUAAAGUUUAUGGAUUAAAGUGUAACGUGUCUCAUAGUUUGAUCCAGAAAUUAUAAUGCAUUAAAGUUCGAGGUUGGUCUAGAGUGUCACGUGUCUUAUAGUUUGAGAACCAAAAUUAUAAUUUAUCUUUUAUAUAUAUAUAUAUAUACAUUCGACAAAAUAAUCUACUAAACUAUCUAAUAAAUUUUAGAAUGUCUAAUUGUUAAAAUUAAAAGUUAACUAAUCAUUGUUUAGGUAUUCUAGAAUAUUUAAAUGUGACGUUGGACUACUUAUCAGACUACAAAUAUGGCAUUGAAGUUUGAUAUUAGAAUCAAACUAAAAACGCAUUGAAUUUUCUUGAACUAUGAAUCAUUUUGAAUUAGCUAUCUAACCUUUCAAAAAAAAAAAUCUCUAUCCAACAUUUUAAUAUGUAGUUUUGAGUCGAUCAAUAGUACCUAUCUCUCACAUUUCUAAAUGAAGUAAACGAAGCAGGUAGCGUGCUACCUAUCUCUCAAAAAAAAAAAAAAAUAUUUAGAUUUGAGUCGAUCAAUAGUACUUUGACUUUAAAACAAUUAAUUAAUUAAUUUUAGUAUAUUUCGUACAACUCUCACAAUUAAAUUUAUUAAAAUAAGUAAUUAAUUUAAACCCCAUCAAUCCUUCUUUUGAUCAAUAUUAUAAAACCAAAAUUUAUAUUUAAUGCACGCAAUCUAAAUUAUUUAAAAAAUUAUCUAUAAAAUUUUUAUAAUAAAAAGAGAAAAAUUAGAUUGGAUUAAAAAAAUGCUUGAUUUUAUUUUUUUCCGUCAAUAUCAGUAGAGAGAGAGGAAAAAAAUAAGAUGAAAACAACAUCCCCCCAAACUAAGAAUUCAUAAUAUAUAUAUAUAUAUAUAUAUAUAUAUAUAUAUAUAUAUAUAUAUAUAUAUAUAGAUAGAUAGAUAUUUUGAAUAUUGCAAAGAAAAAUAAUUAUUUUGGUUCAAAUUUUAAAUUUUUGGUUGAAUUCGAAUUUGAAUAUGAAUUUUUAAAAAUCCGUCCAUUUAGACUCAAAUUUAUAUUUGGGAUUUGGAGUCCAAUUGGAUUCGGAUUUGUUGAAAAUCCGCACCAAAUUCAACCCGUUGAGAAGCCAGUGUGUAUAUGCUUAAGAGCAAGUUAAAAUUAGGCAGAUGAUAAAAUCAUUUUGAUUACGAAUCACGCUUAAACGCCACGUGGGCUUUGAAACAUGUGAAGCUCGCAUUUCCACAUUGUCUUAGUUAUAGUGGAUAAGUGUCGGUUUGACCUCUACCUCGAGCUUAUGCAAAUUACUAUAAUAAUAAUAAUAAUAAUAAUAAUAGAGUGAGGCUACUAUGCUAUCGGAACGGAGCCUUCCGCGCUUUCAGCUCGUUUUCAAUGUUGCGACUUUCGAAUCGUCGAUCGGCUCCGUUAAACUUGAUCUAAGUAUUUGGAAUAUCUAGAAAAUAAAAUUUAUUAUUUUCGAUAUCAUUUGCCUAGUGAUCGAAUGGGCUCAAAAUCAACAAAUUUCAAUGGCCGUAGUGAGCCGUUUGCAAGUUUAACGGUGUAGAAAUAUCCAAAUCACGUGAAAUUUUGAUAGAAAAUUCUUUAUACUAUAUAAAACAAGAUCAAUAUCUUUGAUUUAAAAUUUUAAUGUCAUAUUAUUGCAUUUUGUAAGAUUUUUAUUUUCAGCCGUUGAUUUUGAGCCCCUUCGUUCACUAGGCAAAUGAUAUCGUAAAAUCAUAAAAUUUAUUUUCUAGAUACUUCAAAUACUUUAUAUCAAGUUUAACGGAGUCGAUCGAUGAUUCGAAAGUCGCAACAUCGAAAACGAGCUGGAAGCACGGAAGGUUCUGUGCUUCCGAUAACAUAGUAGCCUCACUAAUAAUAAUAAUAAUAAUAAUAAUAAUAAUAAUAAUAAGAGUAAACUUUAAAUAACAUUUUUGUGGUUUCACGCUUUUUCAUUUUAGUAUUUUAUAGUUUAAAAUAUAUCAAUUUAGCACCGUGUGAUUUUAUUUUUCUCUUUUCGUCAGUUUUUCUGCUAGAUUUUCAUUAAAUCAUACAUAAAAAACUUCAGUUACCCUAUCUAUAGUUUAUCGAAUAUUCACUUUAAUACCUUUUAGUUUUACCUUCGUUACUUAUUUAACGAAAUAAAUUAGUAAAGGAGAUAACAAAAAUUAUAAAAAAAUUACAGGGUAUAAAAAUGAUACACGUUAAAUCACAAGGUACUAAAGUAAAAAAUACGAAACCACAAAAUGGUAUUUGAAAUUUUUUCUAAUAUAAUAAUAAUAAUAAUAAUUAGUGUCUGGUUGUUUCGCCUAGUAUUUUCGUAUCUGUCUCUUUAGGAAAAGCUUUUGCUACAUGUGAGAACAAAAAAUAAAAUUUUAAAACCCAAAAAAGUAAAAUAUAUUUAAAUUGCAUUUUUUAUUCUGCUAAAAAGUGGAGAAGCUACGUAAUAAAGUUAAUUAUGUCGAAUAUAAAUAGACAAUAAAAUCUCACAAACUAAAUAGUCAACAUAUUUAGAAAUCGAAAUGGGAUCGAAUUGUUUGUUUUACUAUCCUUUUUAGAUCAUUCUUGUUUGAUGCUUCUGGAUCAAGAAUUUUAAAUGCCCAUUGGCAUAGGCAGUAUCUACUUUGCUAUAUUAUGUCAACAAAAUAUUAGCACGAUACAGUCCCCAUACUGAUGAUACAGCUUAAAACCCUCUAUUUUUUAAAUUAAUAAGUAAUUUUCUCAACAAAAUUCAAAAAAUUUGAUAAAAAUGCAUAAUAAAUAGUUAAAAAAAUUUUUGCUAAAAAAUAAAUAUAUUUAAUGCUAUUAUGUGUCGGCCACAUACGAAUUUUUUGUGACUGACAAGCAUCGGCAUGGCCCGACUUGCACUGUGUUGUACCGUACCGACAAGUUUCCGACACGACCACACACUACAACAAAAACGGUCUAUAGCGACACUUUUAAGUGUAGGGACAUGUCAAAAAAGUGCUGCGAGUUAAAAUUACCGACACUUUUAAAAAGUGUUGCUAUAUGUGGGGUCGCUAGGUAUAUAGUGACAGUUAAAGAGUGUCGCUAUAACUUAAAAGAGUGCUGCUAAUUUACCAACAACUUAUUUAAGCAUUUAGCAACCGUCGAAACUCUAUCUCGUUGGCUGCGGUGGCGGAGGAGGACGACAGGAAUGACUCUUCGUCUAGAAUUUGAGUAGAUUGAGUGAAGAGAGAAGAAAAUAUGGUAAUUGAUUUUUCUUUUUUUUUUUCUUUUCUAUUUGUAAUCGGGCCAAAUGGACUGGGUGUGGUGGGUUGAGUGGAGUAAUCUUUUAUUUUUGGUUGGAUUGGGCUUUAUAUUUAGGCAUUAGUAGAUAUUUUUUUAAGUUUUAGCAUAAAUAGGACACUUACUCAAAAGUGUCCCAAACAUGUGUCCCUAUAACCUAAUUCUGUUGUAGUGACAUACCACUGCACUUAAAUCCUUAUUCUAGAUCUUCCACGUAUCGCGCUUUCUCCUACGCGUUACGAAUCGGAUACAAGUUGAGGAUCGGAUGAUGUGCUACGAAUCGGAUGGGAUACGAAGAAUCCUAUCAGAGUUCGAUAUCUUCUAUAUUCACACUCCAAAAUUUCAAAAAUAUAGCCGAGAGAGAACGCGGAGAAAAGAGAGGAAAGAGGAAAUCUCCUUUUGUUCUUUGCAUACAAAAAUUGAGAGAGUUAAAGGGGGCGUCUUCAUAAAUUCCCUAAUAACUUAAGUUUUGAAAAAGCAAAGAUUGGUUAAUAUUAUUUCGCAUGAUAUUAAAAAUAAAAGGUUCCAUGUUUAAGCUCCCCUAAGUGCCAAACUUCAUUUAAUUCUCUCUUAUUUAAUAGAAGUUCACGCCUUAGGCAGUGUUGAAUAUAAAUACUAAAAAAUAAUACUCUCUAAUUAAUACCUUAAGCUUUUGAAGAACAACAACAAUAAUUAUUUCAAAUAUUAUUUCACAAAUUUUACUCUCUCAAAUAGCAUUUUAAUAAUUAAUAAUAAUACUAUAAACGAGCUAAAACAGAUUUAUAAGCAUAGGCAUAGCUGCUGAAUCCUUCAAAAUGUUAUCCUUAUGGACCGUUGAUCGCUGCAUCGCCGUAUAUGAUAAGUUUAAAUAUUAUUUCACAGGUUUUACUCUCUCAAAUAGCAUUUUAAUAUGUAACAAUUCUAUAAAGGAGCCAAAAUAGAUUUAUGAACGUAGGCAUGGCUUCGAGUCCUUCAAAAUGCAAUCUUUAUGGGCUGUUGAUCGCUGCGUCGUCGUAUAUGAUAGAUAGAAAAACUUCUGAUUGAUUCGUGUACACAAUAAGAUCGACAACAACGGAACUGUUUCAUGCAAGGAAUCUAAGUAUUUUUCUUUUUUUUUUUUCCUCCAAAAAAAUAGAAGUUUUAUCCACUGCACCAUUUAUAUAUAUGUUAUAUCAGUAGUGGUCGUAUUUAAUGCGUGCAUGAUACGUGGAAGGGAACAAAGAGGUUAGGGUAUGCAUAUAUUUAUAUAUAUUUAUUUCUAUAUAAAUCCAUGCACCAUUCAAAUUUGGUAAUUAAUAGGUAUCCACAAGAGAACAACAUAGUAGUCAAAAUAAAACCAAUAAUAAUAAUAAGAAUAGAUAAUGUGGGAAAUAAUAAUUAAUAUUGUAGUUUUACAACACUACUUGUCGUUUUUUAGUUUUAACACACCUAAUGGGUCCCACAUGUCAGUAGAAAGGUGAGAUUUUGGGUGUGAAUAUUUUGGGUGCAUGUUACGUAUUUUAUUAUUAUUAUUAUUAUACUUAUGAAUAUUACUAAAUAUAUAUUAAAGUUCGUGCAUGUACGUAUUUAUGCAUGUUUGGAUGAGGAUAAUCUGUUACAAUUAUACGUCACUCUACACUGCAUGGACGUAACUACAUAUGUUGUCCAACAUGUUGAAACAUUCUCACAACUUCAAAAAAUAAUAACAAAGUAAAAUACUAUAUAUAUAUAUAUAGAGAGAGAGUUCGGCUACUAUACUCUUAUAAGUACGAUCGUCCUCGUACGCAUAAAUUAUUUUCGAUGAUAGAGCUUCCGAAUUGACGAUCCACACCGUUAAACGUUAUCUAGAGCAUUUAAUACGUUUAGAAAUCAAAAUUUAUAAUUUUUCGACAUCAUUUACCUUACAAUCAAAAGGUCAUAAAAUUGAUAAUUUUUAACGGCCGGUAUGGGAUAUUUGCUAGUUUAACGGUGUAAAAAAAUCGAAAUCAGCUGAAUUUUUGAUAGAAAAUUCUAUUCACUACAUAGAUAAAGAUCAAUUACUCCGAUCUUAAAUUGAAGGAUCCGAUCAUUCAUUUUUAAGACGUCGUUCUUGACCGUUCAUUUUAUACCCCCUUGAUGAACUUUAUUAUGAUUUUGAAAAAUUAUGAAAUUUAUUUUCUAGAAGUUUAAAAUAUCUAGAUCAUAUUUAACAUAGUGAGUCGAUUCAGAAACUCUAUCAUUGAAAACAACUUUUGAGUACGAAGUGCUCUAUACUCAUAAGAGUAUAGUAGCCCAGGCCUAUAUAUAUAUAUAUAUAUAUAUAUAUAUAUAUAAUUAGGCUGGAAUACUAUUAAUAGUAAAAAGCUCUUUUUAAUUGCUAUCAAGUUUUUAACCCCUGGAUGAAAAUUGUAGGGUCAGGAUGAUAUUAGUCGGUUAGAGUUGAGUGGUCCCCCUAGGGUUGAAUGGUCCCCACUGGGUUAUAAUAUUUAAUCUAAUGGUUAGAAAUAAUGAAAAGAAUUGAUUCAAAGGCUAAAAAACUGAUAGCAACAAUAGAAUUUUGCUACUAAUAGUAGCCCAGUCCAACUCUAUAUCUUUUGAAAUGGCUACCCAACAAUUCAAAAUUUAUCUGAACUUUCUGAACUAUACAUCAUUUUGAAAUGGCUACCCAACAUGCAAUUCAAAAUUUUAAUUUUACUAUUUAACUUUUCAAUUGACUAAAAUUUUGAAUGCAUUAUUUAAUUUUACAGAUUUAAUUAGUUACUUCGUGCAAUUUUCAUAACUAUAAAUUUAUUAAAAUAAGUAAUUAGCUUAAAUUUUGAAGUCAAAGUACUAUUGGCUCAUUUAAAUCAAAUAAAUUGAAAAGUUGGAUAAUAAAUUAAAGUUUUGAAAGAUUUGAUAAUCAUUUCAAAUUGGUUCAUAGUUUAGAUAAGUUUUAUACAUUUUACAUUUUUCUCUAGAAAAUACGGUCAGAAAUAAAUACAAAUUCAAACCGAAAAGUAUUUAGCACAGUACAAAUACAAUAAUAUUUUGGUACAAAGUAUAUGGUAUAUGCUUUAGUUUCUAAAUUUUUUGGUUAAACAUAUUUUAAUUUUGAACUAUCUUAUAUCAUGUAACUAGGCAGGCUAGAUUAAUUUGAAUAGUAUUAAUAGUAAAAAAUUAAUUUUAAAAAAUUAUAAGAGUAGAGAUCACUACAUUUAAAUUUUAAGUUUAGAAUAAAUUUACUCCAAUUGUAGUAGAGUUUCUCACAUGAAAAGAGGUCCACAUUAAUUUGAUUUGAGGGUAAUUAAAUAAAGUAAUGUGACAAAACAUGAUGAUAUGAACAUAAAGUGAAAAAUAAGUAUAGAAUCAAUAUCUAGCAAAAUGCAGGGAAUCUGAUUCACCUGCAUAAAUGAUUGAGAACAAAUUUUAGUGGAAUAAGAAUAUAUAGUUGUACAAACAUUAUGAACUUGAUCAAGCUAUUAGGUUUUGUUGUCACCAUUUUGCGUGAUUUGCGAAUCUGAUCCGAUCAGUCUCGAAUAAUGGCUCGAUCAGAUAUUAAUGUUAUUAGAUGCGUCUCGAAUUCUUUAACUUGUUUUGCUCCGUGUUGUAGGAGUACAACAUUUAUCAGUUGUUAGUGUUUAGAGUAGUAAAUAUUCGUUUAACUAAUUAAUAUUUUCCUAGUAGCUUCAAAAAUAAAUACACUACCAAAGUUAGCAGGGAAAAUAUAUUGGCUUAGCAAUAUAUACAUAAAAAAUGCAUCUAUUACAUAUUUGUUUUUAGUAGAUGAUGAUCAUUUGGGCCCUUCAUUUGGAUGUAUAGAGUUUAAUAUUUUCAAAUUAAUGCAAAUUCAAAUGCAAAUUUGAGCUGAACAAAAAAUCAUAAAAAAACAAAUGAACUUUAUGUUUCAUAACUGCCCAACAUGUGACUUUACACCUGAUUAGAGCAUAAGUGGUCAUGUUAAUAUUUGUUUAACAAAUGAACUUAAAAUGUUAGAUUCAUUAAUAAUGUAUAUAUAUGCCUACAUUUUUUGUGACAUGACAAUUAAAUUAAUUAAGCCCAAAGUGCAAUUUUUUUUUAAUUUUUUUAAUUAAAUUUUAAAGUACACCUUGGCAUAUUUGAUCUAUAUAUAAAGCUAGCUAAUCAUAUAGAAUAUUAAUGUAACCAAUUAAAGGAGGAUAAGUUUCAAAACCUUUAGAAAGAGACAACACAAUAAACACCAUCACCUAUAUAUAAUUGCAUCAGUAUAUUCAUAUACUAUACAUCUAUUCAUCAUCACAAAGAAUCGAUAGAAUCUAUACAUGGUGUACAAAUAAAUGAUUCACUCAAUGUAAUCAACAAUUUUUUGCCUCAGGAAAUAGCUAAAAUGAAAUAUUUAAAAAUCAAAAUAAAAAUUUGACUUAGUGCUCAGGGACUAGUAUAAUGCAAUUUUCCCCUAAUACAUGUAUUCUAAAAUUUUUCAAAUAACUUUGGGUUAAAGUACGGGACACUAGAGCCGUCAACGAGCCAAACACGAGUGAGCUGGGGCUAGCUCGUAUUCGACUCGUUUAAUAAAUGUCUAAGCUGAAAAAUUUAGCUCGUGUUCGGCUUAUUUAUUAACGAGCCUAACACAAGAUGAUUUGUGAGCAGUAAGUAGAUUGUCGGCUUUACUACUAGGUGAAAAAUUAGAAGCAAAUUAAAAAAAUUAGAAUCUUAAUUUAAUAAUUAAAAUUCACAAAAUAUAAAUUUCUUUGCAUUUAGAUUGAGCUAAAAUUCAAAUAAUAAAAAUUUGCAAAGCAUAUAUACAUGUAUUAGGCUGAACACAAGCGCGCUAGCUGAUCCCAGCUCAUGUUCGGCUCAUUUAGAUUUGAGCUAACAAAUUCAGCUGGCAUUCGCUUCAUUUAUUAAACGAAUAAUCAAUUUUGCGCUCAUUUCGAGCCAAAGACGAGUUAGCUCACAAACAACGAACUACAGUAAUAGCAUGUUAUUCGUUUUAUUUAUUAGUGUUAUUUUGUUCCUUUGUUAAAAAGUGGGGAGUUAUAGUAUGGGGAUCGAGCACACGUGGGAGAUUCGGGGCUAAUUUGUGUCCAAUCAUGUAUUUAGGUAAUUAAGUUGCAAGACUAAGUCAUCUGGUGUGACCUAAAGUUGGUCAUGUGUCGCGCAGUCAAGGGCUAUGUAUCGAAAAAGAAAAGAAAAAAACUAUUAUGUCAUAUUUGUAUCACAUCAAUAAUAACAAAUCAAUUAUAUUUUUUAUUUAAAAAAAAUAUAAUAAGAAUAUUUUUUUAUAAUCAUGAUAUGUUGGAUUAAUCGAAAAAAAUUUAUUUGAUUGAUUCUAAACGUCACGUCACUAAUAUAUAUAGUGCAUCCUAAAAUUUUUCUCGAAUGGGCUAAGUGCAUUAUUGGUCCCUAACUUUUACUUACUUUUUUUUACUUUAGUUUCCAACCUUUUAUUUUCUGCAAUCAUAUUAACUUUAAUUCCUCAUAAUUUCUGACUUGAGUUAUGAGGUGCGUGAUAUUCUAGUUCUCAAACUUUAAUUAAUUAUAAUUUUUGACUUGAAUUAUAAGAUAUAUAUGUGAUAUUUUAGUUAUCCAAUUUUUAAAUUAUUGUAAUCAAGUCUCACAAUAUAUAUUUCUUUUUAAUAAAUAUUGGUGGAAUUAUAUUGAAAUAACUUAGUAUUUUAAUUAUUAUUGCAGUAUUAAGUAGGAUAUUACUAUAAUUCAGAAAGUUCGAAACUAAAAUGUUAUAUAUCUCAUAGUUUUUUUAGGGGGGGGGGUGUGUGUUACUGUGUUAUUGAUGUCACUAAAGUAUAAGAUGCGAUGGGUCAAAAAGAUGCUACAAACAGUUAGGAGUUUGGAACAAGCACAUUGUCACUUGUGCCCUAGAUUAGGUUCGAGACGAAAGUCCACAUUCUAGGCCUACCAAAACACAAAAAAAGGAAAAGGAAAAGGAAAAAAGAAAGAUACAAUUAUCGAUUGCGAAAGCGAUAUGAAUAUUACUCUUAGAAGAUAACAAAGUCGCUAUAGCAGAAGAACAGUACUUUUAUGUCAGAAUCUACAGGGGAGGGAGAGCCUUCAGUAGCAGCUACUAACGUCCGGACUGACGAGUGGUCAAACCACUAGCAUGCACGUAUGAAUGAUGCGGCCGCGGAGUGCGAGCAUUUAGCGAGAAAAUAUUCCAAACAACAGUGAGAGUAGCUCAGACGUCUGCGGUUAAUGACAAAAGUUUUAUUGACCGGUUGGGACGGUGGUUUUUUCAGAUGAUUCUUUUCUUUUAUGAGACUAGUUUGGUUAUAGAUAGUUAUUACUAUAUAACAGUUAUAUAAUUAUACCUAAAUUCAAAUUCAGUGUUUGAUUUGAUAUAUUUGAAUUCAACUCUUACAGUUAAAAACACACGAGGAGGCUCAACUGCAGUAAUUAGAACCACGUCCAACUAACUAUAGAAAUUGAAAAAAUUAACUUUAAACAAAGUGUAACCUUACCUAUGUAUUGCCACCCUAUAUAUAAAGUGAUAAAAUUUUAUAAAUACAUUACUCAACUGCAAACAAUCAAACAAUUAAUUCACAGUCGCAACAUUUUCUAUUGCAUCCAACCAAUAAAUCCUUAGUUGCAUCGAGUUAAUCAAGUCCUUGAUACAUCCACGUCGUAUAUGAUACUGGAGCAUCCGAAUCGAUGAUCAAUAUCGGUAAAUAUAAUUUGCGGUACUUAUUCCGUAAUGUUUCGACAUUAUUUAUUAAAUUAAGUUUGGUGCAUUUCAAAUAGUAUUCUCGCUCAACUCUGCAUAUAUAUUUAAAACACUAGUUUUGAUUAAUUGUGUGAACAACUUACAUGCAAUAAUGCUCAUAGAUAAUUUGCGGUACUUGUGCCCUAGAUUAGGUUCGAGACGAAAGUCCACAUUCUAGGCCUACCAAAACACAAAAAAAGGAAAAGGAAAAGGAAAAAAGAAAGAUACAAUCAUCGAUUGCGAAAGCGAUAUGAAUAUUACUCUUAGAAGAUAACAAAGUCGCUAUAGCAGAAGAACAGUACUUUUAUGUCAGAAUCUACAGGGGAGGGAGAGCCUUCAGUAGUAGCUACUAACGUUCGGACGGACGAGGGGUGAAACCACUAGCAUGCACGUAUGAAUGAUACGGCCGCGGAGUGCAAGCAUUUAGCGAGAAAAUAUUCCAGACAACAGUGAUAGUAGCUCAGAUGUCUGCGGUUAAUGACAAAGUUUUAUUGACCGGUUGGGACGGUAGUUUUUUCAGAUGAUCCUUUUCUUUUAUGCGACUGGUUUGGUUAUAGAUAGUUGUUACUAUAUAACAGUUAUAUAAUUAUACCUAAAUUCAAAUUCAGUGUUUGAUUUGAUAUAUUUGAAUUCAAUACUUACAGUUAAAAACACACGAGGAGGCUCAACUGCAGUAAUUAGAACCACGUCCAACUAACUAUAGAAAUUGAAAAAAAUAACUUUAAACAAAGUGUAACCUUACCUAUGUAUUGCCACCCUAUAUAUAAAGUGAUAAAAUUUUAUAAAUACAUUACUCAACUGCAAACAAUCAAACAAUUAAUUCACAGUCGCAACGUUUUCUACUGCAUCUAACCAGCAAAUCCUUAGUUGCAUCGAGUUAAUCAAGUCCUUGAUACAUCCACGUCGUAUAUGAUACUGGAGCAUCCGAAUCGAUGAUCAAUAUCGGUAAAUAUAAUUUGCGGUACUUAUUCCGUAAUGUUUCGACAUUAUUUAUUAAAUUAAGUUUGGUGCAUUUCAAAUAGUAUUCUCGCUCAACUCUGCACAUUUAAAACACUAGUUUUGAUUAAUUGUGUGAACAACUUACAUGCAAUAAUGCUCAUAGAUAUAUUCCACGCAUCUAUCACCGUCCAAAUGACCCCACGGUACACGUACGGUACACGGUUCUUUGAUCAUGCAUGGCCCCAUGUUUCACCAGUUGAAAUAGACGGUGGGUUUGGUUCCUCUCACCAACCUCUUCUCAUUGUUUUAAAUUCAUGAAUCCAUAUAUACAUAUAUAAGUUUCUAAAUUAACAAGUGAUCUCUUGGGACCUACAAUUGGAGCUGCAUAUUUAAACUCUUUAGCUUAAGUGCUUAAUUUGUUCUACGCCCCACUUGAUUCUAUGCAAUUUACAUAUAUAAUUUGUUUAAUGAUUAGUGAACUUCUUUACAUGUAAUUAUUUGAAAAGUUUCGUAGGGAAUUAAUAAGUUAUUAUAACAUUUUUUCCACAGAAAAAUAUAGCUUAGCUAAAAAUGUGAAGCGACUAAGUUUCGAACUUAGAGCCUCAGUUACUAAUCAUUUAAGCCCUUCGCCAUCUUCACUAGAAAUGGUCGGUAAAUCAAUCUUUUAAAUAAUAUGUAUCAAAAUCUGAUUCCCUCAUUCGCUAUUUUAUGAUAUAUAUAUUCUUAUAUAUGUAUCAUUUUAUUACUUUUUCAAUUACGUCUUUAGUCAGUGCUGAUAUAUAUCCACCGUACACGUAAGCGAGAGUUUUAAAAUUAGUCGUGAACCUAUUUUCUAUUGGAUCGAUUUCUUAGGUUACUUGUCGACUUUUAUUACGUAGAGGCUACUUCAUAUGAUUAAACUUUGAUUAGAUUAGUUCUAUGCCUUCAAAUAUAUGUAGGCCAUUGGUUUGGUGAGAUUAAGAGCAUCCCAUAAUUUAAAGUAGAUUAAAAGAAAUAGCAAAAGAUAAGCAUAUUAUUGUUUAUUGUUUUGUAUUUUAUGAUAUUGACUUACGAUGUUGAUCGAUCACGUGAUGCGGACGUUACAGACAAUUCUUUUGCACUAGGUUAAGAUUAAUAGUAUUGCGUGUGGGGAGGAACUUAAAUUCGUCUUUUAAAUGAUUUUCAAAAAUUAUUUCUAUAUACUUUAGGAAAUACUUUUGCUGUGUAAAUCAAAUUAAUAUAUUCAUCAUUUCAAAUAUUGCAAUCCAUUUAAGUAAGAUUUAAUCUAAUUCAAAUUGUUCUUAAAUCCAAUUAAUAAUAUAACGUUGUUCCAAUCAAAUUAAAUACUCUCGAAUAAUCAACAAGUAUUUUCUGUGUAUUCUUAAAUUUUUUAUUCAAACUCUUUAAUUCUUAUUUAUGGCAUUAAACUAAGUUUUGUGUAGUGUAGAAAUUAAGGAUGAAAUUUUAUUUUUGCUUUUUUUUCUAUUGCUUUAUUUAUUAUAUGCCCUUGGUUUCAGGUAAACUCCAAAGUGCAUGCAUGCAUUUAAUGAAUUCAAUACAAAUGGAUUAAUAUGUAAUGAUUUAUCUAUUAGACUUUUUCGGGUUAUAGAGAAAAUGCAUUAUAUGGAUUGAGAAAGUACGAUUGAAAAGUAUUUUAAUUGUUUUAAUACGUACUGUCACGUUAUACUUAUCUCAAUGGAUCGGCUACGUACAAUAUAUAUUUUUUCAUAAAUUUUAUAAUAAUUGAAGAAAUAUAUUUUCUUAUGUUUUCGUCCUAAUUCUGUAUUGUUUAAUAGGCGCAUUAGAUAACGCUGAGCACCAAAUGAGGUCCUAAUGCAUUACUGGAAAAUUUGCAUAUAAUCUCCUCACCUAUAUUCAUAUCGUAGCGGAGACGAUGCAAUUUUCCUUUUUUUUAUUUUUUUUAUUUUUUUACUUUCUUCAUUUUUAUAUGCAUAUAAGUAUGCUAAUAUAAUAAUAUGAGUCAAAAUAUAUGUAAACUUUAAUAUUUUUUAUUAAUAUAAAUUGCACCAUUUUUUUGAAAAAAUAUUUUUAUAUAAAAAUAAUAAUUAGCGGGGUAAAAAAUUGAUAUAUGCUAUUAGCUUAGUCUAUAUGUUUAAAUAUCAUAGCUACAUUUUUCUAAACAUCUGUAUGAUAUGAUAGAUUUAAUAGAUUUUAUAAAUAUGAUAAAUUUAAGAAUAAAAAUGGUUGUUCAGUGUACUAAAGAGAUUUAAGUUUCGGAGAGUAGAUAUAGUAAUUUAUAGAGUGUUUAAAGACAUAUAAUUAUGUAUCAGUUUUAUAUAAAAUUUUUUAAUAUUAGUUAUUUAGAAAUCAGAUUGUAAAUUAGAUAUUAAUAAUAAAUAAAUUAAUUAACUCUUUCAUUAUAACGUUAUAUAAGUAUCUGCGGCAUCACGUGGGUUAGCCGCUAGUAAAUAAAGUUAUAGUAGAAUUUAAAUGCAUGUACCAUUCCCCUCAUCACAUUGCAUUAGUAUAUAUAUAUAUAUAUAUAUAUAUAUAUACAUAUAUAUAUAUAUAUAUAUAUACAUAUAUAUAUAUAUAUCUUAGCAUUAAUUGGAUGUUGUAAUAUUAAAUGCGACGUGUUACAAAGGUUUAUAUUAUUUUGGGAAAUUUAGAGGUAGCUAAACUAUGAAGUAAUUAACGUUGCCAUGCAUGAGAGGGUUCUCAUUGUGACCUUAUUUUUCCUAUGGGCCCUCUAGUUUUCUAGGUUUUGCUACGAGUUUUAAUGCGCAUCAACAAUCGAUGCUUCGAUGGUACCUUAGGGUGUGUUUGUUCCGGAUUCACUUGGCUAGGGAAGUGGCAGGUGUGCAAAAGUCGGAAUCGCCGAUGUUCAGAGAUGUGAUGGAUGCUCUCAACCCCGACAAAAUUUGAGAAUCGUGUAAGAGUUAUCUCCACAGUUUAUAUAUGGCGCGAAUAUGUGACUUUGCUUAGGAGAACUUUCGAGUUGCUACGAGUUUUAAUGCGUAUCGAUGCUUCUGCAGUAACUUAGGGUGUGUUUGUUUCUGGUUAACUUGGUUACGUACAAAAGUGCAACUUCGUAUAGGAGAACUUGCGAGUUGCUACGAGUUUUAAUGCGUAUCGAUAUUUCAGCAGUAACUUAGGGUGCGUUUGUUUUUGGUUAACUUGGCUACGUACAAAAGUGCCAAGUGGGCAAAAGUCGACAUCACUGAUGUCCGAAGAUGUGAUGGAUGCUCACAACUUCGAGAAAAUUUGAGAAUCGCGUAAAAAUUAUCUCCACAAUUUAUAUACGACUCGAAUAUGCAACUUCUUUUAGGAGAACUUGCGAGUUGCUACGAGUUUUAAUGCAUGUCGAUGCCUCGGCAGUAACUUAGGGCGCAUUUGUUUCUGAUUAACUUGGCUACAUGCAGAAGUGCCAAGUGGGCAAAAGUCGGCAUCACCGAUGUCCAGAGGUGUGAUGGAUGCUCACAACUUUGAGAAAAUUUGAGAAUUGCGUAAAAAUUACCUCCACAGUUUAUAUACGACUCGAAUAUGCGAUUUGUUUUAAAAGAACUUGCGAAUUGCUACGAGUUUUAAUACGUGUUGAUGCUUCGGCGGUAACUUAGAGCGCAUUUGUUUCUGUUUAAUUUGGCUACGUACAGAAGUGCCAAGUGGGCAAAAGUCGGCAUCACCGAUGUCCGGAGAUGUGAUGGACGCUCACAACUUCGAGAAAAUUUGAGAAUUGAGUAAGAGUUAUCUCCACAAUUUAUAUAUGGCGUGAAUCCACCGUCUAGUCGUAAGAUAGAUUUUUGGGACUCAAAUAAGACUUUUUGAAGAGUUUAAAAAUCAGUAAUGCCGAAAUUAAAAGUUUAAGGAUUAAUUGGCAAGUUAUUGAAAGUUUAGGGACUAAUGGUGUAAUUUACCCGAAUGCUUUAUACCUGUUUCCUAGCGAAUUGCUAACUUUGGAAAUUAACCAGGAAGUACGCCGCAUAAUAGUUGUACUUCGUGACGAGUCCUAUAGGAAAUUAUAUGCGAGCAAGCUCGUUAGCCGAGAAGGUGCGGCUAUCCGCCACGUGUAAGUAGAUUAACGCAUGACUGUACGAAUUUCUAUGCGGCUAUUCGUACCGAGCUCACAUCUAUUGCACCUUCUCAGGCCCCUUUAAUUGCUUGGACUAGUUCACCACUUCAGCUGUGGACCGUCGUAUGAUAUGUGCAAAGUAAAAAAAUAUGUAUGGAGAUCCCUCACCUAUAUACUAUUUUGAAUGAGACUCUUCAACUUUUAUUUCUUUGAUUGUGAUUCCCCCUCAAAAUUUUUUUUUUUCUUUUGAUUUGUGUUUCUAUGCUUGCCUAUAUCAAAAAAUUUAUCAAAUUUAAUAAUUUUUUUAAUUAGUAACUGCUAAUAAGUCGAGUUAAAUUUGCUAAAAAGUGAUUGAAGUCAUUAAGUUUGUAAACUAAUUACUAGUAACUUUGAAAAAAUUCUUAAUUAUUUUGAUUGAAGUUAUUUAAUUCUAAGGUUAAAUGCAUACAAGUCUCUAUAAAUAUAGUAAAUUGUAAAUAUAUUCCUCUAAAGUUUACCUUUUAUAUGUUGUCCCUGCAAAAAUUUUAAUAAUUUCAAAUAUGUCUCUCUGGCUUUUUACCGUUAGAGAAAUAUUUAUAUUGUAACAGCAAGUAAGUGAAAUGUUAAUUUUGUCAUCACAAAUAUAUCCCUUUACAAGUCACAACAGUAUAAUAUAAGAGAGGUAAAAAUAUCAAGUUAUCUCAUAAACUAAUCAAGGUUAAGUAUUUAAUUUAUGAAUAACUAAUUUUUUCUAACGGAUUCUAACGGCAUGAACAUAUUUGAAAAUAUUAAGACAUUUGUAGGGACAAUAUUUAAAAGUUAAACUUUGUAGGGAUGUAUUUACAAUUCAACAAUAUUUAAAAGUUGAACUUUAUAGGAAUGUAUUUACAAUUCACUAUAUUUGUAGAGACUUGUAUGCAAUUAAUCCUUUAUUCUAAAUAGUUAGAAGUCGAGAGGCUGCGUUCAAAAUAAAAGUUGAGGGGGCAAAUAUAUAUAUAUAUNUAUGGGAUGGUGUUUAGAGUACCGGUCCACGGGUGACGUGGUGAACCAGGCUCACGUAAAUUACUCCUUCGGUGCGCGCCAGUUUUACGCCCAACCGUCGCCCCGUCCCAUCGUCCUCUUUCUCCUUCAAAACCCUCCCCCCCCCAACAAAAAAAAUAUUAAAAAAAAAAAAAACCCCUUCUAAAACCCUUGCUCCGAUCUCUCCGAUCUCCAUUAAUGGCGAAGAAGAGCUCUCCCCUCUCCUUCUCCUGAGGCCCUUCGUUUCUCGAUGGAUUCCCCUCCCACCUCCUCCUCCUCGUACGCGCUACCCCUGCAUUGCCUCUCGGUGGGCGACAGCAUCGUCGUCUUCUCCGGCGGCUCCCGGAGGUGGCGCCCCGCGGAGGUCGCUGCCGCCGAGGGCGAUCACAGGUGCGAGGUCGUGUACGAGGACGGGGAGCGGCGAUGGGUUUCGCUCGAUAGGGUUGGCUAUGUCGUGAGCAGGGAUUGGAAGAGGUCGAUGCGGGGGAGGGGGAAUAGUAGGGGGAGGAGCGAGGAGGAGAAAGAGAUCGACGAGAUCGAUAAUGUCGACAGUGGUAAUUGGAAAAAGAUGUCUUCUUGUUCUCUGAUGUUGUGCUGCUUUAUUCAUUAUGAUUAUAAAUCUCUGUUUGUGCUGAUAACUAAUGGUUUCUACAUCUUUGUAUGGUUCUUAUUGUUUGAUUACUAUAGGAUUUUCUUGUAAUGCCAUAUAUAUUGGAAAGGUUUUGGAUCCUGAUUAGUUUAUAACCUAGAUAUGAGGAAGCACGCGUACCAUCAAAAGAUCACAAUAUAUUUCAAAUUUGUGAUAUUACUCCAUAUUAGAACCCAUCAUAUACCUUCCUACAUUUUGCUGGGAAAAUUUUGCGACCAAAUUGACUUCAGAAUGUGGUUGUUGUUACUAUGAGCUUUACAUAUUUCUUUUCUUCAGCUUUAGCUUUCUUUUAGGCAUUUUUAUACUCCAAAAGCUUGCAUUGCUGCUUGAAAAUGGAGGUUAAUUAAUGAUAGAGAAAGAAAUAUACAAAUAUCAAACAAUGUAUCGUCAGUGCCAUUCCUUUUGAUGAAGUUUUUGCAGUGCUUUCUUGAUAGAAAUAAUAUUUGGUAACAUUCUAUAAGCUUGUCUUAGGUGAAACCAUAUCAUCACAACAUAGGAUUACAACUGAAAUUGCUUCACUUAGGUUCUUGCUUAAAUAUGUAACUAUCACUGUCAUGAGCUACUCACACUUAUUCAUUUACCGAAAGUAUGCAACUAGUUUGCUGUGUAGGUUUUAGCUAGCUGCUAAAGUAAUGCCCUUUUUUAACCUUUGUUUGUAUCUAUCGCUUCAACUCUUUCUGGGUUCUUUUUAUCAUGUAUGCGGCCAUUUUUCCUUCUUAAUUAAUUGGUGUCAUUCUUUUACCCUUUCCUGAUAAAUUGGCCUAAUGGUUGUGUCUUCCUGCAUAAAAAAGUAUCCUUGAAGCUUUCAUAUAUGUUUAACUUCUAUGGAGGCAUAACUUAUUGUAAAUUAUAAUUACUUAAUUAGAUAUCUCAUUUCAGGUAACUUACAUAGUACUCCAAACUUUUCUUACGCAGGGAAAAAGCAGACUGGUGCUUGCAGGAGGUCGAGUCGCCUUCAGGAGAGAUCAAUGAUGAAGGAUACUUCAAUUUCAAACUGCUCUGUUAGUAUAUGAUCAUUAUUUGUGAAACUGUUGACUUCAUAUAACAUAUGUAUAUAAUUCAUGAGUCAUUUUAUUUCAGGAAGGCAAUUUGAAAGCUGCUUGUCUCCCUGUCUCCUUAGAAGAGUGCUCAAUCUCGGGUAAGGUUUAUUGAGUUGUUCCUGAACCCUCACUGGUAUGUAACUAUGUAUUUUUACCUAUAUAUGCAUGCAUGUGAAAAUUUGGACCCUUGUUUUUUGUGUAAAGUAGUUGCCUUUCUAAUGCUUCCCAGAAGCUUUCAUAUAAACGCCCCUAACAACAUUUAGAUGGAAGCUUCAAAUUGGUGCUUUUGUGUUUGGUGCUAAAAAUUCAUAGAUGCUUCCUGCAUUAGCUUGAAGCACUACACUUUUUUGUUUACCACACACUUGACUUAUGCGGAGGUUCUAACAUAUCUAUUUGUAUGACUGAAUGACCAGUCAGACAUGAUUUGGGUGCAUCAAUCUAUAACUUUUUAUAGUCAAUAGCACACUCCAUAGUCCAUUGCAGCAUAAGUAUAUUUGGGCUCGGAAGUCUUUGAUGUAUCCUUACUAUUCCUUUCCGGUUGUUUGCUACAUGUUGGAUCUCAUCUACCUUUUCAUUUGUCACUAUGGAAUUAUCAUUGCUGUCACUGCUGUCUUCAGCCUUUGGUUUGGCCUAAGGUUUUGAGCUGCCAAGAAACUUUAUGGGCUUAGUUUUUCAGAUUGCUGGUGCUCUUAUAUGUUAACAAAAUGACUUUUAGCAUGGAUGUAUUGUCUUCGCUGGUUUUUAUUUGAUUUUUUUUUGAGAAAUGGGUAGCUUGCUACCGCUUCAUUCAUUAAGAAGAUGAACGGACAUGACAGUUUUUAUGAGUUAGUUGAUAAACUUUUUGAUCCUUCAGAUGAUGAGUCGUCUGGUGAUGCUAUAGAAGCUGGCAUAUGCAGUACGAAUGGUCUUAUUUGUUCUGUUUGUGAGGUUUGCCCCCUCUCUCUCUCUCUCUCUCUCUCUCUCUCUCUCUAUAUUUGUUCUGUUUGUGAGGUUCACUCCCCCCCCCGUUUCCUAAGUUCUAUUGUUCUGUUUAUUUGCUCCUUUAUGCAGACGGGUGUUGCCAGUAAUCUUUUUGUCCAAUGUAAGAAUGCGAGCUGUUGUUUUGCUUUCCACGCAUUUUGCCUCCAUCCUCCAUUGAAAGAUAUUGAAGAAGAUUGGGCGUGCCCCUUAUGCGAAAGAGCUCGCUUUUCCUUGAAGCUUACUAAUGUGAAGAAAGUACUUCUGAGAAAAAUUCAAAACAUUGUUGGUCAUAGGCAAGUGAUUUUGAAAAGCGCAAAGAAUGUAUCUCAAGUUCAAUUCUUAGUAAAAUGGGAAUCACUCUCGCAUCACCAUGAUUCUUGGGUAUGCUUUCCUGGUUCUUUGUUUUAUUGGAAUUUGGUGUUAGAAGAUCCAACAAAGUUCACAGUUGCUUUGUUUUCAUUCUUUGGUUUUCUUUGGUUUCCAGUCAGCUUUUAACUGCUUCCAGCAUUUUGUAUGAUAUGCUAAGUACUACUUGAUUGUUUCUUUUACAAUGUUACUACCAUACUUUUCAACUAUUGGAACAUCUUAAAAAUUGGAUGGUUUGAGAGAGAAGCCUGACAUUGUUGUGCUAUUCUAUCAACAUCAGUUGGACUUCCUUAGACUUAUGCUGCCAUUUGACAAAGUUAUUUUCCUAUUUUUCGCCAUAUUGUGAGUAUGGAAAAAAAAAAGAUAGAAAAGAUAAAAGGGACCAAAAAAUUCAGGGCAUACCUGCUUGUGAUUUAGGAUAUGAUUGAUGAAUGAGGUUAGAAACAGGGAAAAGAAUUGGCCAAAAGGAUCGAUGUAAAAGUAUGAAUAAUUAAAGCCUGGUCAAUUUAGCAGUUAUGUAGAUUUAUGCUCUCUCUGGUUAAUAGAUAAUAUGAACAGAUGAAUUACAUUGAUUUAUGCAAGCUUUAGCAUGAAUUGAUCACGACAUCUACGCCACUAUGGCAACACAUUUUAUGUCUACAUUGUAUCCACAAUUCUCAUGUACUGAUAGCUCAGCCCAAACCCCAUAUCUGCCCUCACCCCCUUCUUUUAAAUUUCUGAAGUAACAGAUAGUAAAUUCAAGUUCUCCUAUUGCUUGCAUAUCCGAGUAAUGCAAUUCAGUCACCUGAUUAUAUUGGCGAAAAUUUUGCUUUCCUAUUAGUAACUCUCGAUUCAAUUGCAUUUAAAAAGUUGACUAAAUUGAUAAAACUGUGCGAAAUAAUGGGUAGUUUUUCUCUAUCGACUGUAACUUGCCCUGCAUGGACUAUCUGCAUUUUGACGAAUUGUGCUACUUUUUCCCUCACUGUUCUAGGUCAACCUGAUUUUCUUCAAUGUUCUAGUAUUUGCACUGAUUUCUAGAUUGUACUAACAUGUCCAUACUUUCGGUUUUCUAUCACAAUAUAUAGCAUGGAUUUUCUCUAGAAUCCUUUGUCUUUACUUCUAGCAUUUUAUUUGCUGUAGGUACCAUUGGAGUGGCUUUACAUCUUUGAUCGUGCUAGGCUACGUAGCUAUCAGAAGAAAUACCCGUAUGUCGUCACGGCCUGUUUGUUGCUUCUUUUUUUUUUUCUGAGUGAACUGUUUGUUGCUUCUUGUUAUUUCUUGCUUCUUGCUAUUGCUUUUGUCUACUUCAUAAAGUUCCUUGUAUUUACGACCUGUUUGGCCAGACUUUUGGAAGAGCUUCUCUACUCCGAGAAGCAACAAAUAGUUGUUUGGCAAACCAAAAUUCUAGAAUUUAUGCCAUAAUGGGAAACUAAUUACCUUUGAGGCCCAAAAACAGGUGCUAGCUUCUUCUUUUGCUGCUCUAGAAAGCCUCUCAGUGUUUCUUCGAGCUGCUCAACCCAAACUGCAUCUCUGGAAAAGCUCUAGCUGGCCCAAGCAUGCCCUUAUUUUUAGGCUAACCUGUGGUGCUUAUUAUUUUCGAUGCUUCCUACUAAAUCUAAAAUUCUCAUUGACAGCGCAUCAAAAAUUGCUGAUUCAUUUGAUCAAAGGAAGUCUGAGUGGCUUGAAAUUGACCGUAUAAUUGCAUGUCGAAGGAAGUCUAGUUCUGACUUGUCAUGUGAAAUCUUGAGUGUCAUUCAAACCAAAGAGCACGCUGGGGAUUUUGAAUUUCUUGUAAAAUGGAAAGGACUUGAUUAUACCAAUGCAACUUGGGAAUCCACCUGUACCGAUGAAUUGCUGGCUGCUGUUGGUAAACUAGUUCAAAGGCAUCAAAAGGCAUCUGAGAGGGCUGAUGAUCAUAAACCAACAAUCUCUCUUUGCCCAGAAGACUUGUAUGGGAAUGCUCUCUAUGACUAUCAGCUUCAAGGGCUAAAGUGGAUUUUGAGUAAUUUUAGAGCCAGGAGGAAUGUUAUUCUUGCAGGUUCUUAUUUUUGACUCAUUGGAAAUAUGUAAAAUUUUCCAAUCUUAUUAAACUUGCUUACUUUUACUGUUACAUCCUUGAAUUGUUUGAUUUUUCUUUCUGAUAAUAUUACACGAUAAGACUGUUUGAAAGUUUGGAUACCAUACUUUAUAUUCUUGUUUUCAUAAGCAGAAAGUUCGCUUGUUUUUAUUUUUUUUUACGUAGAUUAGCUUGAUAACCCUUACUAAUUUAGAAUGAAUCUUUGGUUAGGAAGAUUAAUAUAAGGUUAUUAGACCAUGGUGCUUUUUGACCAUGUGUAAAAUGCUCAUUUAUUUGCAUCCAAAUAAGGCCUCAUGUGUCCAUGCAACAUUAUUAUAGUGAUAAAGGCAUAUUAGAGUUUGUUUGUGCAAUCAGAAAUCUGCCUCUCUGUGACCAUCGAAAGGAUUUAUAGGCCAUAAUUGACGAUGAGUUGUUAUCUUAACGCUUUCUAUUAUUUUAUUUGGGUCCCCAUAUAUUGAGCUAAUUUUUGUGGAUUGUGUUACCUGAUUUAUGCUGAAUUGUCAUUGUUUUUGUUAGUUCUGUUUCCAAAAGGAAAAUCUGUUUUUUCUGAUGAGAGUUCACUCGAAAUUUUAGCUCUCAAACCCAGCUGAGUGUGGAUCUCUUUGACAUAUAUUCAAGUGGAUUAAUGAGUCAAGAACCUGGUUAAAAUUGAAAAUAAUAACUAGACAGUUUUAAAGUUUUUGAAUCGUAGAAACAUAUUAGUGAUUAUUGUGAAAAAUAUAAAUUGCUCGAACUUAUAAGAUGAAUCUGGCACUCAGAAGAAUAUUCUGUAUUUUGAAGACAAAGGAGAUUUGGAGGCAACAGCCUUUCUCUAUAGGUGCCUCCAGACUGGGCUGAAUUCUAGACUUGAAAAAUAUUUAGUCAAUUUCAGUCUAUACGAUGCUUGAAAGAGUAAACAGUAUUUCUAAGUUGUAAUAGUAAUUGCAACUAUGUAAUCAACUAGAGAUAAUGGUUAUAUCUUCAAACAAUUUUCUCUUAUUUCUCUAAUUUACUCAUGCUACAUAAUUUUGUUGCAUAUGCUUUUGCACUAUUGCAUAACAAAUUUAUUUUUGCUAUUUCCUAUUAUUCUCUUUAGAUGUUGUGUUUAGAAUUUAUUCAUUAUCAUCAUUCAUUCAUGAUAAAGUAUUAAUGUUGUUAUUCGGUUUCCCACUUUUCUUUUUACAGAUGAAAUGGGUUUGGGCAAAACUGUUCAAGCUGUUUGCUUUGUUCACUUUAUAAUGCAGGAGAGUUUCAAUGCCAACCCUGUAUUAAUUAUUGCUCCUAAGAGUAUCCUCCUACAGUGGGAGAAGGUUCGAUACUUCUGAGUUCCGAUUCUCUUCUCUUUUAGUACAACUGCAUACCCCCUCUCCCUCCUCACCCUGCCCCAAGUCUUUCUCCAAUGAUAAUCAUUGCUGCAUGUCAAAUUGAUGCCUGGCAUCGGUUACAUAUGCUAUAUACAAUGAUAGAUUAUCAUUAUUCUAUAUUUUCUGUUCCUUAAUGCAUUUCCAAGGCAUUAUUUUGAUUCACGAUACAAAUGAAUAUUCUAUAGGUUUGCGAUCUUUGUCUGUUAAUAUAUUGUUAGCUUUGAAAAUUAAAAUAUACGAAAACAUUAGUUGUAAUUUCCGAGGGGAACAUGCUUUGAGUAAUGUCUUCUGAACUAACAACUGCCACUGUGUAUCCAUUACUAAGAUCAUCAGAACCACUGAUAACGUAUGAGAUAGAUAGUCCUAACUCACAAUCUCUUUGAUGGGAUGAGUGUUUCCUUUUGUUACUUGUAUUCAAGAAGGAUCUUCUUUAAUAAUCUCCUGUCUACUAUGUAAAUUAACUUACUGUUAUAUUUAACCCGAUUCUCAUGCCUUUGUAGAAGCGCUUAAAACAUGCAUGAGGUAUAUAUGUUUGAUGAGAUAAAUUGCUGAAAUGAUUAGACCAUUGCUUUGUAAUGAUAUAUAUUUUUGUUCUGUGUCGUAGGAAUUUCGAUAUUGGGCCAAAGACCUGAAUGUUAUUAUCUAUGAAGGAGAUAAACAGUCACGCCAUUACAUCCAGACAUAUGAGAUGUACUCUUCAGAAAAGGGGGCCUUAUUUGAUGCUUUGGUGACAAGCUACAAUUUUGUUCAUUUGGAUAGUGCAGUUCUGAAGAAGUUUAAGUGGUCUGCUAUAAUUAGUAAGCUGCACCAGCAAUCUAGUUGAAUUUCUUCUUUUGUUCUAUUGUCAUUGUGUUUUCUGUCAGAAAUGACAUGAAUUAUUGGUUCAUUUAUAUUCACUGCAUUUCUGGUUUGGCGGACAGAUUUUUUGAACAUUGUAAAUAUUGAUCUAAUCAGCUGUCUUUUCAAAUACUUUUACAGCAGAAAAUAUCUGAGCUUGACUUUUCCUCAUAUUUUUUUCCUUUCUUUUUUUUUAUCUGAUAUUCCAUGAUUGUGUAAUUUAUAUCACUCUUUAAUCCUUGUAGUUGAUGAGGCUCACAAAAUAAAGAAACUCGACUGCAAGCUCGUCAACUGCCUUAAGCAGUAUAACUCAGAAUUUCGGUUGCUACUAACUGUACGUUAUUUGUUUUCUAAAUCUGUCUAUUUAUCCUCUACUAUAGUGAGAAGUCUUGCUUUUUUACUUUUCUUAAUUUGGGACUCACAUAUUCAUGAUAUUUUAUGCUUAUAAAUAAACUUUUUUCCUUUUGUAUAUUUAUAGCUUGACUUACUUCAAUUCCAGUUAAUGAUUUCUUGGGCAGAACACUCAGCCCAACUAUGACUAUACCACAAUAAUGUCAAAUUACUUCUUGAAAAUGCUAGUAAUUCCUCUCGUUUUUUCUAUUUCUUUUCGAUCUUUUGCAUAUAUGGUAAUUUGUUACUCCCCUGUGAUUUUUUUCUCGGACACCAACCGUAUUCCUUCCUUGCUAAGCAUACGUAUGAUUGCCUGGAUGAAAUCUUAAGACCUUAAAACAUUCUUUUCUGACUCAGGGAAAGCCCCUUCAUUAUUAUUAUUAUUAUUUCUAAUGCAGGGAACACCUCUUCAGAAUUCAUUGCUUGAAUUGUUUGCACUGCUUCACUUUAUUGAUCCGCAAGAAUUCUCUGACCCAAAGUCUGAAGCCGAAUCCUUCUCAGCCAUCGAAACCUAUUAUUCUGAAACGAAAGUUGCUCAGAUCCAUGAGCUUUUGAAACCCAGGUGUUUGUGUUGUCUCUGGCAAUUUUUUUUAUGUUAAGUUCUUUUUUAAAAUUCUAUCAAUUAUUUGAUUGGGAUUAUGAAGUUGUUUUUUAUAAUGAAAUCCAGGAUGCUAAGAAGAAUGAAAUCUGAUGUUCUUCCUCAGUCUAUACCGACAAAAAAGUGGGUGGAAGUUCCAUGCGCCCUCACGGGUUUCCAAAGGGAACUUUACAUAGAUAUUUUGGAAAAGAAUUACAAAAAGCUGAAUAAGGGAAUCCAAAGUGGUUCGUUUGCUUUAUCUUCUUUUAAUGCAUAUUAUCAUCGCAUGUAAUGUCCUUUAUGCUGAUUACUGCUACACACAUUUUAACAGGUAGGAAGAUUACUUUGAACGUCAUCCUUUCAGCACUGCGGAAGUGUUGUAAUCACCCUGUAGGUUACCUUGUAACUCUAAGAACCAGAUCGCUAUUUGUUGUGUGAUUUUGAGGUCCCUCUUACUUGCUAUCUUAGUUUGUUCUUUUAUGGUGUAAUCCUAGCAUGGUGGUGUUAUCAAAUCUUGAAUUUCUAGUCUUUAGGGUUAUGUGUAUUAUGUUUUAAACAGUUGCCUCUGUGCUUCCCUCUCCUUUUUUUUUUUCCCUCUUCCUGUUAUCGUGCAAUUUGCGAGAGGAAAAGGUAAAAGAAUGUACACAGUAAGAAACAAUCACCAAUAGCACCUACUCCUUUCCUCAGCAGUAUAGGAUUGGCCUGCAGAGAACUCCAUGUUUUAAAAGGUCCAAUGGAAUAGUUGACUAAUUCUCUCAACAUAGUCAAGUUGACAUCAAUAAACUGAAACUUUUCUAUUCUCAAGUUUGUGGUCUCUGCUCCUCCUGCGUCAAUGUGCCUUCCUCCCCUUGGAAGUGUAUAAACUUUUGAUCAAACACCAGUUGACUGGUGGUGAUAUCUUGAGUAUCAAAUCACACUAGGAACUUUUGAGUAUUUACAUUGUUUUUUGUUUUUGAGCUGCUAGCACAAGAAGUUGACCAUUAUUGGAUCACCUUGAUUUUGUUUGCAGAUUUUGUGUCUCCUAAAAUGCAUGCCCUGCUGGUUUUUCUUUAAGUUGUUGGCAUUUGUUGAGAUUGUAAUAAAGGGGUGUAGAGCAUGCUUCGCGGUAGAGAUACUAGAAUGCUUCAUGAUGUAAAUUAUAUUUGUAAUUUUAAUAAUUUUAAUAUAACUACACCAUUAUGAAUCUAUGUCAUUAAUAUAGGUAUACUAGACUGCAAACACAUAAUUAUGUCAUUAUGUGCUUUUUUCUUCCAAAAAACAGAAUGAAACUACUUUUUCAAUUCUUCUCUAUAAGAUUUUUUUUUUUUUUUUUGGUUUUAUGUGUUGUAGCUAGCAUUCUCAUUCUAUUACUUAAUUUAAGACUUGAGUAUUUAACAGUAUGCAUGCUCCUUUCAGUAUCUUUUUCCAGGACAGGAAGAGUAUCAGUCAUCACGGGAAUCUGCUUUUCUAUCACUUGUUGCAAAAUCAGGAAAGCUGCUGCUCUUAGAAAAGGUCUGAUAAUUUAAAAAUGUACACUAUUACUUAAUAUCACAGAGUCAAAUAUUUGACAUAAAGUGACACAUUAUAUUUGUAUAGAUGACUUGGAUCCACAAUUAUAUCUGAAUAUUGGGAAUAUUUUGAUUGUUUCCUUCUGCAGUUGCUGCCGAGGUUGAAAGAAAGGCGAAAUCGCGUAAUAAUAUUCUCGCAAAUGACUAAGAUGCUAGACAUUCUCGAAGAUUUUUUGUCAUACCUUGGGUUUACUUAUUUCCGGUAGGUUCUUUGUAGCAUGAAAUGCUGCCUCUAAUAUAGCAUUACUCAUACAAGUGCUGUUGCUAUCCUUUGCUGCGCGGUGAUUCCUCUUGUUCUUUUCCCGACAACUCUAUCCAGGCCAUUCUCAAGCUAGUCCUUUCGUCCCCUCUUCAAUUUCGAGAGCUGACUAACUAAUGCUGGAUAGAGUUGCAGUUGAUAUGGACAUUACAUUGGUUAAUAUGGUAAUAUAUUAAUGCUGGAUAGAGUUGUAGACAUUAAAUCAGUUCAUAAAUAUCGUAACAUACCAAAAGACCAGUAAAGCGUAAAACAGAAAAAAAAAGAAAAAAAAGAAAAAAAGAAGAACAUUUUAUGGGCAAGGAUAGGCAUUUUAGAGCCACAAGGAACAGGACACGUAAACAAAGAGUGAACUCUCGAAAACCAGUGCUUAAAAGAUCCAAGAAAAUACUGUUCAUUUCAUCGAUUAUUUUUGUUGUAAAUUACGUACGUAUUGCCUAUGACUGGGACUUGUAAAUUUCUCUCCUGUUACAUGAUAAUAUUAGUUAUUUUCAUCAUCAGGUUUGCUGGUCAUUCAUCAAUCUCUUCAUUCUGUUUCACAGAAUCGAUGGAAGAACUGACUUACCGGCAAGACAGCAAAGAAUGACGGAAUUCAACAAUCCCGAGAGCGAAAUAUUUAUAUUUCUUAUGUCGACUCGUGCCGGUGGCUUAGGCAUUGACCUGGUAUAUUUUCACUUUUUUCUUCACUAUUGGAGUAGCAAAAUAUUUUCCCUUAUUCAUUUGACUCGUAUAUUUGAAGUAUCUCUUAAUUAAAACCCUUUACAAUAUAUUUUUUUUCCAUUUACCAAAUAUCUUAAGUAAAUUUGACUAACCGAAAUCUUUUCUAUCAACAGCCUGGUGCUGAUAGGGUAAUCAUAUAUGGUAAGCAUUUUAAAAGCACGCACUUUUUUUGUUGUUGUUGUUAAACUCUCGUCUAUUUCUUAUCCCUUUUUCCUCUCGUCACUUUUCAGACCCUGAUUUCAACCCCUUCAUGGACCUGCAAGCCCAAUCCCGGGCCCACCGAAUUGGUCAGACCCGACCCGUGGUGGUCUACCAACUCAUCACUAAGUGCUCUGUCGAAGAGAAAAUACUCCAAAAAUCAAAGCAGAAGCUCGCUGUCGAGAACCUCGUAAUGAACCCUUCAAAAAAGCCGAGCGUAAACGAUCUGCACUCUGUGCUUCUUCACGGAGCGCGAACAAUCCUCAACCGGAAAAAAGUGCAAGCCACAUCAAUUCUUUACGAUGACAAUGCCAUAGAGACUCUUCUUAAGCUAGACCCGGCUCCCGGGGAAUGCUGUUCUCCUGAUGAAAACGGCUAUCUCGGUACUAUUCAGAGCUUCAAUACUGGAGACGCCGAGAAUGAGCCGCCGCCACAGCCUCACUCUCCUAAAGCCCACGAAUGGAAAGAAAUCCUCGGGCCGGUCGAGGAGGCAAAUGGUGCGAAUUUCGGGCGGGGGAAGAGGCAGAAGAAGGUCGUUAGGUACGAGUGCGAGGAUGGUGCGGAUAGCGACGAUAUGUAUAUGCCGGAGGAGAGUUCCUCUACUUUGGGAAGCUCUUCGUCGGACGGUGACGGGUGUGAUGAUGAUGAAUUGGUACCUGAGAUUGCUUCUGAGAUGUCAUAGGCUGGUCUCUUGGAUAAAUUUUUUGGAUUUUGGCAUUUUUAUAUGCAAGUGCUUAAAGUAGAUGUUAGUAGAUGUUGGUAAAGCAUAUGCCUAAAAAGAAAAUGCUGUAUCUUGGAACCACCAAUUUUGUGCUGUAGAGACCCCAUUUUGGGGCUCUUUUGUAUAUGGUCAGUUUAUAUUUUGUUUUUUUUUUUUUUUUUCUUAAAACAGUUCAGAGAAACUUGUGUGACAUUGUCGAAAAAUCGUCUAUUUACAUAUCUAACUCUCUGAAAUUUGAAUUCUCAAACACACCCCUGGAAAGUGCAGUUUCUGUAAGUAACCUUUUUUUUGUGUGAUGUUUUAUAUCUCUAAAGUAAGGUUUCGAACUGUAUAUGUGAAAUUUUGAUUUGCAGGUUGUAAGGUACAUGGUUAAUUUCUCAGGGUAUAUUUACAAAUAUAUCUUUGUUUCUGAACCACAAGAACCCUCAAUGUACCUUUUCGAUUGGCAAAAACAAACUAUAAUAAUAUUAACAACUUAAAAAUAAAAACAUGAAGGUGAAAGAACUCAAAUUCCCCAAUCCAAGAGGGGGGUGGGAAAAAAAUUUAAAGGAGAAAAAAAUUUCCUUUGCUGCUAUACAAUCAAAGCUAUAACUUCAGUUACAUGAAUCAAAUUUUCAAAAUCUAUUAAUGCUGUUUUUUUUAUUUCACUGAAGAAUCACACAUCCUUGUUGAAUCCAAACUCUCAUUUGCUUCACUCUCCUCUUCAGACACUGCCAAACCUAAAGCAUCAAAGAUGCAACCCUUCACUUGCCGAAACCGCUCCGCCGAGAGCGACACCUCGGCCAAAAGCCUCCAGGCGGAAUCCUCCGACGCCUCCUCGUAGUCCUUCCUGCGUUUCAACACCAUGUGCCCGCCGAUCUCCCACGCCGCGGGGUUCACUUGCGUGUCCAGUAGCUCUUGGCUCACUUUUCCGAGUGCUUGCUUCUCCGCGUAGCACUGCACCAUCGCAUAUUCGAGAAAGACAAACACGGAUUUUUCAGAUGCAAUCGUCGUAAAAUAUUUUCAAAAUUUGAUCUUCGAGAAUUGCUGAAGUACAAUGCAUCUUAAAACUGUUCUCUAAAUGCAUAUUCCACCUGCGGAAAGAGGAAGAUCCUGCCCCCAGAUCUGCAAAUGAGCACAUUGAAUGGUAUGUUGUUCUCCUGCAGGUAAAUGCACGAGUUCGCGACCGCAUUCGACAAAUCCUUCAUCGUGUUCCCGCAUUCGAAAACUAGGCCUCUCACAGGAUACUCCAACAACUGAGAAACUUUCACGCCCCCGUCCGGUCCCUCGAGCGUUUCUAUCCUCCUCGUAGGCGCCUUUUCUACCGGAAAGGGCACCGACAAGUAAUACGCCUGAUGCAUAUAAACGAUAAUUCUUUCGUUCGAUCGAGAUCACAUAUUUCAUGAGAUAAAUCGGGGAUGUAGGAAAAGACGCGAAAGUACGCUAAGGACCUGGAAGUGGAGGUGAUUGAUGGUGGCGAAGGCGCCCAAGCUAUUGUAGCCGACCCGGAAGUACGGAUUCCCUGCUUCUACCGCCAAGUGAAGGGCGAGCAAGAAGCUCUCGCGGUCGAUCCUUUGCGGCAAACAGUCGAGCACGCGGGGGAUCAGCAGUACAUGGCCGUACUCAAUAGGGCUCACCUAUCGACGAACGCGAAACAUCACAUUGUUAGAUAAAACGAAACCUUCGCGCAUUUCGAGAUAGAUAUACUAACUUUUCAGUCUCGUCAGUACUUGAGGGAAUUUUCUGAGAUGAUAAGCUAUCAACAUAACCGUAUCCAAAUGCGUCAUAGUUCAGAUAGUGUUCUGUAUGCUGCUGUUCAAAACGCGAACACUCACGUUGAUCACGACGACGCUAGGGGAUCUUGUUCCGUCCACCGGGGUGGCGUUGGUCGCGGGCUCGAAGCGGAAGAGGGCCUCCUCCUGGCCCACCUUGGUGAAGUUGAACUUGUUCGCGUCGAACGGCUGCAGGACCUGGUCCACCCGGAACUCCGUGGGCCGCUUCUUGCGGUGGCGGCCCUCGUUCAGCUGCGCGACGAAGCCGCACUUUCCCGGAACCACUUUGGCCUCGCAGGCCGUCACGUCGUACCGGAACAGUCCCCGGCUCAUCCUCUCGUCCCACUGUACAUACAUAAGUACUCCAAAAUUAUUUAAAUUUGUUACUACAAAUGAACAUUACUUAUCCCCUUAACCAAGAAUAAACAUUACUUUAAUUAGUUGUGGUCACACAAAAAGCAAGAAUUAGAAGAGAAUUAGUAAUUAAUUAGCUCUCCUUAAGCCACUAAUCUAUGUACUAAAAUUAGGGAUUAAACUGCAGCAACUUAUCCCCCAAAAAAAAGGAAAAAAAUCAGGAAACACUACAAAAAAAAAAAAAAAAAAAAAAAAAACCUGGGUGAGCAACAAGGAAUUGAGGAAAAAAAAUCCCUCCGAGGUCGAAUUCGGCGAAAUUUCGGAAUCGCCCUUGAAUGCAUAGAGUGGAAGUUUUGAUACUGCAUACGCACAAGACAACAUAUUAUAGAUAAAGAAUGAGAACAAAAAUUUCGAAAUCGAAAUUUUCGAGAAAAAAAAAUAAAAUUUAAAAUUUUAAAGAAAAAAUAUAAAGAUUUUAACUCACAGGACAAGCAGCACCUGCCGAGGCCGACCGGCUCGGCAGCGGCGGCAGCGGCGGCAUCAUCCACGGUGUCCUCCUGAUAGUUGGAGACCACCGUCGGAACCCUCUUAAUUGUCAGCAUUGUUCUCUUUAUUUUUUUCUACUAUCACUGCUAGUACAGUUGAUAAGAAUAAAAAUUUAAAGAAUAGUCGAGCUCGCACGUCGAGGUCUCGGCUCUCUCUGCCUCUCUAUCUUCUGAGAAAUAUACAGAGAGAGAGAGAGGGAUUAAUGGCGGUUGGAGAGGAGACGGUUUGUUCGUUAAUUUAUACGAGUAAAAUGACGUAAAUACCCCUUAAACACUUACAUAUUUUGUUUGUACGAGGAUUCGUAAUCUCCCCUAGAGUUUUGAGAUAUAUAUUUAGUAAAUCAUAAGAUUUAUUAAUUUUUUAUCUUAAAUUAUAGUAUUUUUAGAAAAUAUUAUUUAAUUUUGAUAUUAAGUAAUUUUAUAUAAUUAUUAUCAUCUAAUUUGACAGCAAAGCAGUAAGAAUUAUAGUUCGUUUAUUUUUUGGGUUUAAUUUAUAUAUAAUUUAAAAUUUUAAAUUGGUAUUGAAAUAUCGACAAUGAUAUUUUUAUAUAUUGUAAAGAUAAUAAUGGGAUAAUUUUGAAAGAAAAUGUGACAUAUCCAAAAUUUUAUUUGGUCUUUUUAGGGAUAGUAUAUAGAUAAAAUUGCCACAUACAUAUAUAAUUAUUUUGGACAUGAGAUAAUUACUUUAUGCUGAUAAUAUAAAUAUUUCAAUGACUUAAUUAUCUAGAAUAGUAAAUAAAAAAAAUUAAUCUAUCUCAAAAUUAUUUAAAUUAGCAAUUAGAUUAUCUCCAAACGAUGUAUUAUAUUCAUGUCGACCUCUAUAAGACAAUGAUGUACUAAUACUAAAUUAGCUGUAAAUUUGUUGUUUUCAUAGAUAAUUUUACAAAGUUUAACAAAAUAAUUCGAUUAAAUUAAAAAUUAAAAUUGAAUAUUUAAAUUAAAAUAAAUUGAUUGGUUGCCGACUUAAAUAAAUUUUUUCUUAAAAUUUGGUGGAUAUGGCAUAAUUUAUACUAAAUUGGCACGUUUUAUUCGCACUAUCCCGCUAAGUUUACUGGAGAUUCCAAUAGAAAUCUUUUUCAGAUUACUGUGUUUGAUUCAUCCGGCGUAUAAUUUUAAGUAAUUCAUGAUUAGUAACAAUGCAGGAUUAUCCAAAAAUAUUACAAAUUUAUAGAGAAUGGACGGAUAUCUUAGGCUAUUGAUAAAUAUGAUAAGCGAGUAGGUUGGGCAACCUGCGAGUGGAUCAUUGUAUUCUCGGAUUAUGCGAGCACGUAUAAAAUUUAUCCAAAAUUUUUUUAAAUAGCUAUCAUUCUUACACAUACCCAUCCGCAGGUGGGCCCCUGGGCAGGCGAAUAUACGAAUUACCGACGAGGCACGUUUUUUAUUUUUUUGCCGUUAUGCUCUUAUACUUUCCAAACACAAAUAAUACUUCAAAGAGUGUUAAGAUUACCAGGACAGAGAAAAUAAAAAGAGUAUUCACUUUUUUCUUAAUUUUUAUAAAAAAAUUAUAUAUAGGUAUCCACGGAUUGCUCAAAAUACUCAUAAUUUAACUGGUAUCAAACUAUUUUACCUAUAAUUUUUUGAAAAAGAAAAAUUAAUACUCAUAACCACAAAUUUGCGGGUAACUUUCAGGUACCAGAUGUCAUUGCCAAGUUAUAUUACUGGUGGUUUUUCUACAACAAUUUUUAAGAAAAUUACAAAAUUACCCCCAAAUUACAAAGGAAAUGUGAUCUCUCCUCAAAGCACUUCAUCAUCAUAAGUGCAAAAUAUGAGGCUGUUUUCAGCUCAAAUUUACCAAAAUGCCCUCAAGAGCACUCCUCUCCUGAAACAGCUCCAUGCAUUGUGUCUAACCAGUGGAUCCCAAGACCCCCUACAAUGGACUCAGCUCAUUAGAGCUUAUCUCUCUCAACUGCUUCCCAAAGAAGCACUCUUUGUGUACACUCACCACCUCCCUCACAGAGCCCACCAACCCAUUUUGCCAUUAAUUCUCAAAGCUUGUGCUUCUCUCUCCUAUGCUCCACUUGGUAGAGCCCUCCAUGCUCAGUCCAUCAAGGUUGGUAUCACCCAUCAGCAGCUUGUUGUGGGCACUGCUUUUGUUUCCCUGUACUGCAAAUGUGGCCGGGUUCUCGAUGCCCGUAAGAUGUUCGACGAAAUGCCUGAGAGAAAUGUCGUGUCGUAUAACGCCAUGAUCGGCGGGUAUGCGAUGAAUCGGGACAUGGACUCGGCUCUGGAGUUGUUCGAUCGGAUGCCUCUCCGGUCGCCGGUCACGUGGGCGACGGUGAUCAAGGGGUUCGCGGAGAAAGGGGACACCGCGGCGGCGAGGCGGUUGUUCGAGGAAACGCCGCGUGAGAUGAGGAAUGUGGUGACUUGGACCGUGACGGUGCACGGCUAUGCGAGUAAUGGCGAGAUGGAGGGCGCGAGAGAGCUGUUCGAUCGGAUGCCGGUUCGGAAUUUCUUCGCGUGGUCGUCGAUGAUCACCGGGUAUUUUAAGAAGGGGAAUGUUGACGAGGCCCAAGCAAUGUUCGAUCGGAUCCCUAGUCGGAACUUGGUGAAUUGGAAUGCGUUGAUUGCUGGGUACGCCCGAAUUGGGUGCUGCGAGAAGGCGCUUGAAACGUUUAGGAAAAUGCGGGAGAGUGGAUUCGAACCGGAUGAAUUCACAAUGGCGAGCGUGUUGUCGGCUUGCGCGCAAUUGGGUUCGUUAGAGUACGGUAAAGAGAUUCACGAAUUCAUAAAUCGGAGGAGGAUCAAGACCAACCACUUUGUUUUGAAUGGGCUGGUCGAUAUGUAUGCAAAAUGUGGGGAUCUGGAAAGAGCGAGAAAGAUAUUCGAUGGAAUGUGCAGGCGAAAUAGCGAGUGUUGGAAUUCGAUGAUCUCCGGCCUCGCUGGUCACGGUCGAAGCGAAGAGGCCCUCGAGCUUUUUGCUGAGAUGGAAGAAUCAGAAGAGAGGCCUAAUGAGGUGACCUUUCUCGCGAUUCUCGUAGCUUGUACACAUGGAGGAUUCAUUAAGGAAGGUCUAGAAGUAUUCGAGAAGAUGGAGAAACAUGGAUUAAAAGCAGGGGUUGAGCAUUUUGGAUGUAUUGUCGAUCUACUGGGCCGAGCAGGAAGGUUAGAAGAAGCGUACGACAUUAUCAAGAAGAUGCCGAUGGAGCCUAACGAAGUGAUUUGGGGAACUUUGCUCGGAGCUUGCAAAGUGCACAUGGCCAAAGAAGUGAUGGAAAGAGUGGUGAAUGAUUUGGGUAGCUUUAAUUCGGGUCCAAAAUCCACUAACGAUGCGGAAUAUGUGAUGAUAUCGAAUAUCUUUGCCGCUUCGGAGAAGUGGGAAGAGGCCGAGAGGAUGAGGAGGAAGAUGGUGGAGGAUGGAGUUCAAAAGACUCCUGGUUGCAGCUCAAUUGUGGUAGAAAACGAAGAGCACCAAUUCUUUGCCGGCACUGUCGCGUAGACUUAAGGGUUUGCUUUGCCUUGCUUGAGCUUCUACAGUAAGUUCCGCUCGGUUCUGCGCCUCAAAAAAGCAGUAAAGGUGUUUCCAUUCAUAUAUUUUGCUCAGUAACUCGCCUUUGCAGCAAAUGCAGAACAUCAAAUGCUUUUUAAUAAAAGCUUAUUUCAGCUUUCCACUACAACAAAAGUGGCAGCAUUUUUGUUUAUCAAGUCGGAUUAUGUGUCAGCAUGGUCAUUUCAAAAGGAAAUGAGCCUAAUGUAUAGGUUUUUUUUUCUCUAUUAUUUGAUAAUAGAAAUAUCUCUUCGAUUAAUCUUUUCAUGCUAGUUGCAGCAGCUUCUUGUUCAGAAAGAUCGGUCGCCUGAUAAACUCGAGAAUCUAAUGCGAGAAUUGUGUAGGAAUUAUCUGCUUCUGAUGUAUAGUUUGGCCAUUUUGCUGCUUUUUACUGCUGUUGCUGAAACUUGUUCUUACUCACUUGAAUCAGCUAAAGUGAUAGAUAAUGUGGCUUUCUUGUGUUUUAAUUUUGAACUGUAACUUAGAUGUUCAAAUAUAUUACUCAUUAUCAUCUGCAGACUCAGCGCCCGGUAAAUGAAAAUUGCAACAUGCGGACCGAAAUAAAACAAGCUAUUACGUUUUAUGCUUCUUUUUCUCCACUACCAAUCAACUUCAUCAUCAGAUUAUGCAUUCUGAUCAUGUAUAAAUAAUAAUUCCUACUUUUCAUAAAUUAAAAUAAGGUUUUAUGCUACAUAUAAGCGUCUGAACAUUGGCACUAAUUAUUAAUCUCAAAAGAUCGAGCUGUUAGAAAUAUGCAAUCAAUUCACUUAAAGCUUAUAGAUACAAUGCUCAUGAGUCUCGAUUAUAUCUUGGCCCAACUAAUCUCACGCUACUUCGAACAUGACUCGGCCCAACCCGACUUUUGCCAUUUCGAACGUGACUCGACCCAACCUGACCUCCUGCCACAGGACGGGAUGCUGGCCCAUUUAAGCCGACAAUAAGCCUCGAAAAGCUUAUAAGAGUACUAGUAAAAUGUGUUACAAACAAGCAAUACUAAACAUGUUUUUCACAAUAAUGAUUAAAGAAGGCCUGGGCGAGAGUGGUGUGGGAAAUGAGGCACAACCAAGUGUGCCCCACUCUUCUUCUCCUCUGUGUUACCACUCUUUUCUUCUUCAUUUGGCUUCAAAUUUGGUAGAGGUUCCUUUGAUGGCUCAUCCACAUUGGUUGGCUUGUCGAAAAACCGAAAGCACGAAAGCUUAAGCCCCAUCUCGAACUCUUAGUGCCUGUUUGGCUCUGCUUCUGCUACUGCUUUCAGUACCAAAAGAAACCGUUAGAUUUGUAGUACCUGACUUGGUGGUCGAACAGAAGAGAAUUGUUAGUACUUUUUCGAAUCGCUCGCUUGUUUUGAUAUUUCUUUGGCUCAUCAUCUUAUUGCAGGGCUUAUGCUCUUUAUAUACUGCACUGCAGGUAGUGGAUAAUAUUGGCACGUUUACUUGGUAGCCAAGCAUGAGUAAGUUAAGAAUAAAAGUUAAUUAAUUAAGAAUGAAUAUUCAUUGGACUUUGACCAACUACAUAUGUAGAGGAAUAGCAAGGAACCACAAGAACAAGUCCAUGAACCUGGUCCACUACAUCACUUGUGAUUUCCGCCAAUUACAAUGCAACAGCGCUUAGGUCAGAAAAUGUGUUUAAAAUAUACUUUAUUUGUUUCCCUAUGUAAUAUUAUGACCUGUAUAUCGUAAUGAAUUGAUUACGAUAUAUUUUUUAUAAUCCUAUCUAAAAAACACCAAUUUGGUCUUGCGUAAUAACAUUAGAUGAGUCUCGAUGCCAAACGGUCCCAAAAUAUUGAAACAUUUCUCUCUAAUUAUUUAUUUUUUUUUUUUGAAGAAUAAUUAUUGUUUCAUGAAGAAUAAUUAUUGUUUCAUACAGUAUUAGAGAUUAGCCGUACUUUUUACUAUUUCUAAUUAAAAUUAUUAAAGUAUAAAUUAAAUAUAUAUAUAUAUAUACAUAAUACAUUCUAUAUUGUAGGAGCUGCAGAAUUUUUUUUUUCUUUUUGAGUACCAAAUUGUUUUAAAAAUUGCUGCAUGGACCAGGUUCAGGCAAUUUAAAGCUCACUUGUUGUAUGUAGGGCAAAAAAUCAAUUGCUAAAAAUUACUGCAUGGACCAGGUUCAGGCAAUUUAAAGCUCACUUGUUGUAUGUUGGGAUAAAAAUCAAUUGCUUCGUUCCUAGGUUUAAUUUUUGACAGGGGUCUAAUUAUUAAGAUAAAAAGUCCACAUAAGAAGUAUAAAUAUAGCAAAAUAAAUAAAUAAAUAAAAAGUCAAACUUAAAACAAGGACAUAAAUGGGUUGGGCUAAAACUCACAUAAAAAGGGAGGUGACAAAAAUUUAAUUUGGCCCAGCCCAUUUGUGUCUUCUGUUGAGAUCAAAUUUAAUAAAUUUAAUCUGUUCGCAUGCGUAGUUUCUACAUAGACCAAAUUUAAUAAAUUUAAUCUGUUCAUAAUAUAUGUAUUGAUUGAUAAGAUUUUUUUUUCUUUUUUAGUAAAUGUUGCGGAAAUAAAGAAGAGAACAUGGAGAUCGAUGAACCCCCACUACAUAUGUUCUCAAGCUUUGCUUCACUCAUAAUUUUAACUAAAAUGUGAUUAUCUUCAAGGGUGAAAUACACUACUAGUUCCCAAACUUCGAGUCGAGUUUUAUUUUGAUCCUUCAAUUUUAAUUUCGACAUUCAAAACCCUGAAUUUUUAUAAGGUUUUAGUUAAUUAGUUCCAAAAUUUUUGAAGUGUUUCCAUUUUAAUUCUUACUUUAGAUCAAAAAAUUUUGUAUAUAUAUAUAUAUAUAGUAAGACUACUAUAGUUUAAUGAGUAUAGAGUAUCUUUUACUCCUUUAUGCGCAUUAGUUGUUUUCAACGAUGGAGCUCCCAAGUUAUAAUUUUUUAAAUUAAAAAUUUAUAUAUAGGGACUGAAGUGAAACUUUUUUAAGAGUUUAGAGACCGCUAACGUCAAAGCUGAAAAUUUGAGGAACCAAAAUUAAACCUUUUUUUUUGAGAGAAAGGUAGCAUUCUAUCUGUUUCGUUUAUUUUCUAAAAAAAUAAACUUAGCUGGAAAUAUGAAUCAACUAAGAUUCGAACUUCGGACCUGGGUUACCAACCAUCAAGUCCAUUGCCACUUACGUUAGGGACCCUCGGUGAACCAAAAUAAAACUUGGGUAAAAGAUUGGGAAAUAAUUAAUGGUUCAAUUUAAAUAUGUUAAAGUGACUUUAAGUGAUCUUAGAAUUUCUUUUAGAAAAUAAUAUUACUCAAACAGUAUGUCUGCAGAAAUCACAUUUAAGGCAAAUAAUAUAAUUUAGAUCUUACAAAUAUAGAAAAAUUAUAAAAUUUUCUAGUUAUGUCCACUUUUUCUUUCUUUCUCCUUUUCAAAUAAAAAGGAUCUAAACCAUGAUUUGGGCUAGCUAAUUACUAGCUUGUUAAACACCUUUUAAGGCAGGACAAAUUUAAAGAAACACUUAGGGGGCGUUUGGAUUGACGAAUUUGUAGAUCCAAAAUAAGUAAGUGCAGUGGUGUUUGAGUUUUCCUGAAGUGUGAUUAUUUUUCUGUUGUUUGUUUUGAUGUAACUCGUACAGUCUGAAAGUUAAAUUCAAUUACUUCUUCUGUUUGUUUUGAUAUAAUUUGGUGCCGAUAAAAUUAGUUUUUUUAGUUCCGUUGUUUGUUUUGAUGUAAAUAAGUAGAUCCUGUUAUCUCCUAAAUAUAGUGAUAAAUUUAUCACUAUAAAUUAUAACCUAUUAUAUAAUUAAAUUUUUUAUUAUUAUUUAAAAGUAAUUCUAAUUUAUUAUAAAUAAGAUAAUUCUAAUCCAUUAUAAAGGAAGUAGAGUUUAGGUUUUACUAUUUAAUAAAUUUUUUAGAGGAGGUUGAGUAUGGUAGAAGUAGAGUUCGGCACCUUAGAGGAGGAAGUCGAGAGUAGGUGAAGUGGAGGUCUAACGUAAUUUGAAUUAUAUUAUAUUUUUGACUUACACCAAAGCAUAUAACGAAAGUGAUGGAACUUGAGUUCUAUCACUCCACUUACACCAAAACAAAAGGACCAUUAGUUGAGGUUUUUUGUUAGGGUGAUACUUUGAACCUCUAAAAAAUAUUAUCCUUAUAAGUCACUGUGGUUUUAACCAUCACAAAAAUAUUUUUGAAGUGACUUCUUUUACCAAAAGGGUACAUCACUUUUUACAUGUGUAAAGAGAAUCAUUAGCUCCAAAGAAACUACCAAAAGGAGAAGUUGAUGAAAUUAUGAACUCUCUUGGUCAAACAUAAACAAUGAGAAUCUCCACAGCACCCCCACUAGUCUUUAACAAUUUGAGAGAGAGAGAGAGAGAGAGAGAGAGAGAGAGAGAGAGAGAGAGAGGGAAAAUUGAUGAAAUUAUGAACUCUUACUUUUGGUCAAUCAUAAACAUUGAGAGAGAGAGAGAGAGAGAGAGAGAGAGAGAGAGAGAGAGAAAGAGAGAGAUUACCCUAACAAUCAUAGGCAAACUAGUCCUUCACAAAAUGAGAGAGAGAGAGAGAGAGAGAGAGAGAGAGAGAGAGAGUACUAUUACACUAAGAAUCAUGGGCCAAGCAUGCCAAUGCAUGCUACUUCAUAAUUCCUCUCCUUUUGGUCACCACUAAACUUUGUUGGAUUGGAUUAUUGGACAAAGUGCAUGGUGCAAUUUUCAUUUGAUCCCCUAUAUAUAAGCCCUUUCAAAUUUGAAUCAUAUGAACCCUCCCCACCUCAAAAGUUCUCAAUUAUCCAACAUUGAGGGCCCUAGCUAGUUGAUCUUUAGGAUGGAACAACAAAUACAUGCUUGAUUUGAGCUUCAAUCAAGGCCAAUAAUAUCGGCAUCGACGGUUUCGAUUUGAUCAUCAUUAAUAGGCCCCAAAAUCUCUCCUUGGAUGCUCCUAGCAAUUUCUUUUUCCUUGUUACAUAUUAUGAUGGGGACCUCAUAUGAGUAAAUAUCAUAGGCCUAAUAGUAUGUAGUAGACAAGGGUUAUGGGCAAGGACACAAGCAUGCCAAAGAUAACCCUGCAAAAAGUACAAUAAGAGAGUCAAAGAGUAGAAAAUAGCUAGAAAUAUUACACAAGAUUAAAAAAAAAAAAAAAGUUGUAGUUGUGUUGUUUGGUUGUAUUAUUUGAACAAGCUCACAAAAUUUGUGAUGGGUCCAUUUUCAUGAAAAGAAACAAAUUAAGUACUGAACACAAUAGCUUUUGGUCCAUCUCAGUUUGUUUCUUUGUUUGCAAGUGUUUUCUUCUUUUUCUUUUUAAGAGCGUUUCUAUAUUAGAAAAUAUAUUUAUAAGAACGCUACAUAAUUAGAGCAAUCUUAGGGCAGUCGAGGUAUGAGUCGUCAGAUAAACGAUCAGCCUUGUUUUAAAUUUCAUCAGGAGUGUUGUUUGAAAACUCAUACUCUCGUUCUAUUAUAGGGAUUUGUCCCGCAGUUUCUGCAAAGUAAUCGAUUUCUCUAAAAGCCGAUAUUACAAAAUAAUAAAUUCAAUAUUUAUACUCUCUUUCUAUCCGGGUGUCUGUUUGUAUAAUUUCAUUUAUCCGAGUAUGCUUGUGUCGAACGAUUAUAAAGUAAAUUGUGAGAUUUAUACAUAUUAAGCUUCCAAUUUAUGAUGAUAUAUAUGCAGGAAAUCACUCUGUAGUUUACAGUAAAAUUUUUUUUAAAAAAAAAAGAUAAAGAAAAAACAAUCUUAUUCUUAAUGAAAUCAUAUAUACCCAGCGCUAAGAAUAUCAGGAUGUAGCCCAUACUCUCUUGCAAACACAAAUGGAACAAUCCCUUGUGGAAGAGCAGCCUACAAAAAUUAAUUUCAACAAUAAAUGCAUGUCACCUUUAAUUUCAUUUUCCAAACUAAAAAACUUAAUUAUAAGAAAAUAAACUCAAUCAAAAACAUAUAACUAACCUGGACAAUUGCAGUGUGGAGUUUAACCCCUUUUAAUCCCACAGCUAAUGAUGCAGCACACAUUAUUAUCGGCCCGCAAAUAAACCGAAUAAACAUGCUUAUUAUCGCCAUUUUUGCGCCGCACGCAAUGAUCCUUUGUUGAAGAGCCAUGAAUAAACCUGGAUGUAGAUCAAAAUGGUUUUAGUGUAUCUAAUCAAGUUUUUUUUUUCUUUUUUUUAACAUAUGAUAUUAGGGUAUUUUGAAAUAGUAAACAUAAUUAAUGUGCACAAUAUGUAUACAUGCACUUAAUUACCUAAACUAAACAUGGCCAUUCCAAGUCCUGCAUCUGAGAUGAUAGUAAUUGAGUUUUUGAUUAUAUCUGGCAUGGUUAACUCCCACCUACAAAAUUUGGAACAAGUUCAUUAUUUAGCAACUAACAAAAUAUAUAGCUUUUAUUUUUAAUAUUACAUGAAUCAAAAGAUUAUAGAAAUAAAUAUGACGCAUGUAUAUAACUAUUGGAGGUACGAGUGAAAACUUAAUCUCUUAGAGAACGGUCUUUCAAUAAUCUAUAUUCGAAACUUUGCUUCUGAAUUUGAGACUUUUUGAUUGAUUAGACGUGUUGAUUAAUAUAUAUCAUGCGAACUAACCUGAAUGAGAUUAGGGACCAAAGUAGGCCAAGUAUGCUCGAAUACGUAUUAGGGUUUCGAGAGAGUUUGCGUCCGACUACGACGAGUAUGAGCCUUAACAUGACAAGCGGAUGCGGCAUCGCCUGAUCAUUCGCUUCUUCGUCCAUCUCAUACGCAUCUACGAACUUCGUAGUGCUUCUGAAGCUGAGCUCUUUCUCCUCUAUAAAACGAAAUCAAAGAAAACUAAUUGAUUUGUAUUGAAAAGCAAAAUAUGUACCUUGUGAUGCAGUAAUAUAUAUAGAACUUUAGUUUCUGUUUCGAUCAAAUUAUUCGUAACAUAAAAAUUGAAUUACCUACAUAGAUGAUGUGAUAUUAAUGCUAUAAUAGAUCUUCUUCAAUCACAUCAUCUUUAAAAAAUGACAUGAUAAUUUAUCCUGGCGCUUCAACAAAAUUUGACAUGAUAAUUUAAUUCAAACAAAAAGUAAACCUUAACCAAAAAAAACGAAAAAAAAAACAAAAACAAAAACAAAAAUUUCUUAGAGACCAAAAAACUAGCAAAUGGGCAAAUCCGACCAAGGAACACUAGAAAACAAAACAAAAACUGUGAAACGAGUUCUUUUCAUUUUAGCUCCAUCAAUUACUACAAAUCCCACAACAAUUAAAUAAAAUAAAACAAGGGAAACAAACAAAAUAAAACAUGGGUACAACGUACCAAUGGUCUCUGUAGUUGUACUAUUCUAAUAUUAUAAAUUGGUACUAUUUUAGCUCGUAAACUUUAUUAUAAUAUUAUAUUCUAGUCCCUAGCUAAUACUAAGGAAAAAAAAUUAAAUUUUUAGUGUCAUUUCUUUAAGAAAAAUUAAUUUUGCAUGAGAUUAGUGACAAAAAUAUGAUAACAUGUAAAAACUUAAAAAUAAAAUUAUUUUUUUCGCAAUAUAAAAAUAGUACAAAUACUAUUCAUAUCUGUACUUUAAUGUUAAGAAAUUAUUUUAGCAAACUAUUUGUUAAAUAUAAUGCACGAAUCUUAAAAUAGUGAUGAGCGUACCACUCACUUCUCUGCCGCGCACUUUCUCAGCACCACCACUAGCCGGCGCUGCUGGCGAUCUUACCUCCACGUCGGUGAAGCUCGACGCCCGCGGCGUCGGCUGCAGUGAGUAUGCGUCGGACGAUGACGACGCGCACGACGCCCGCGCGAAGAUCGUGAUCUCCCCCAAUGUGAACGUGUGCCGGUUAGGUGUGCUCGACGAGUAUAUCUCGGCGCCCGACAUGCUCGACAUGCGCGGCGUCGGCGUCGAUACGGCCGACGAGCCCGGGGCCGAGGAGGCGGCCGACCGGCGGAUCCGAAUCCGGACCAUGCCGUCUGCGUCGGCCUCCGACGUCUCGGCGUAGAGAGGGUCACGCCCGUCGAGGGAGAUGACGUCGCCGUCGACGUCGAUUUUCGCGAUGGCCGACGCGGCGGCGCCCGGGAACCGCUCCCGGAUCAGCAGCGCCGCCGCACGGUACUCAAAGAGAAAGAGGAGUAGAGUGUACCUAAAAUUAAAUAAUAAUAAUAAUAAUAAUAAUAAUAAUAAUAAUUCAGUAUUUUAAAAUUUACAGACUAAAUUUCGACGGUAGAAAAAGAUUGUGUCUAAAAAUAUAUAUAUAAAAAUACUGUUUAAUUUCUAAUUAAUAUUUCACCUUAACCUUUAAUUUUAAAUUUAUAAUAUAAAAAAUACUAAGUUUUAUUCUAAAAAAUACAAAGUUUCAACAGAUACAAUAUAAUACAAUAUCUGCAUUAUUAAUACGAAUCUCGUAAUUAAUCGUUGACGCUAAAUGUGGAAGAGAUAAACACGUGUAAUGCUUACGGAUCUCAAUUGUGACUCGACCUAUUAUACAUAGUAUUUUUACUUAAAAGAAGCAUUACAAAAAUUUAUACUAGAAGAGAUGGUUAUAUACCAAACAAUGCACUGGAGAACGACGAGCUGCACCAUGAGAGGCUGGGUGAAGUCCCCAUACAUGGCUCUGAGGAGGGGGAUCCCCAUCACCAGCGUAUUCGGCAGCGUCGCGACGGAGAACACGGUGAUGGGCCAGUCGAGCCGCUGCGCCCCGCGGCGCUGGCGGGGGGAGAAGAAGGCGGACGCCAACGAGACGGCGGUGACGAGAGCGAGCGCGAGGAGCUUGGCGAGGGUGUCGGCGAGGAGGAAGCGCAGGUCCAUGCGGUAGGGGUCGUUGUGGGCGAUGAAGUGGAAGGAGAGGACGGGGACGGCGAACGCCGCGACGAAGCGGUUGAUGCCCGAGCACUGCACCGGGGUGAAGGUGCGCCACCACCGCACCGCGGCGUAGGCGAGGAGCAUGGCCGUGUACAGCGGCGCCGUGGCGCACAGCACCGUGUACAAGUCCCCUAGAGUGAUCAUGUUCUCGUGUGCUGUACACGUAAUAGUGUGUGUUAAGGGCCGAGCGGGUUGUAUAUAUAGGGAAUAUAUAUAAUAUAUAGUGUAGAGCUACUAUACUAUUGAAAGUAUAGAUAAUAUGAUACUUUCAACUUUUUAACUAUUGGAUCAAAAAUUAUGCAGUUAAAUGAUUACGGUACCCCCAGGGUUGAGUAGUAACCCUAGGGUUGAGUGGUCCUCACAGGUUAAUUGUAUUAAUCCAAAUAUUAGAAAUGAUUAAAGGGGUUGAUCUAAAGGCCAAAAAAUCGGAAGUACCAGAUCCUCUAUGCUUCCGAUAGCAUAGUAGCUAUACUCUAAUAUAUAUAUAUAUAUAUAUAUAUAUAUAUAUAUAUAUAUAUAUAUAUAAAUAAAAUUAGGCUGGAAUACUAUUAAUAGUAAAACGCUCUUUUUGCUAUCAAGUUUUUAACCCUUGGAUGAAAAAUUGUAGAGUCAGGAUGAUAUUAGUUGGUUAGAGUUGAGUGGUCCCCUAGGGUUGAGUGGUCCUCACUGGGUUAUAAUAUUUAAUCCAAUGGAUAGAAAUAAUAAAAAGAGUUGAUCCAAAGGCUAAAAAACUGGUAGCAAUAUCUGGAAAUUUUGCUACUAAUAGUAGCCCAGUCCAACUAUAUAUAUAUAUAUAUAUAUAUAUUAUAUAAUAGUCCGGCUAUGGUGCUUGUAAAAGUAUCAAGCACUUGGUGCUUGUAAAUUUUUACCGUUAGAUCUCUGCCUUUGAUUAUUUUUACCCGUUAGAUUAUACUAUUCAACCAACCACCUACUCAACCCUAGGGGCCACAUCAUCCUAACCGCACAUCCUUUAAUUCAAGGGCUAAAAUUUACAAUACGAAUGACUUGAUACUUUUAAAAGCAUAGGAACUCAAUUAUAUAUUAUAUAUAUAUAUAAUAUAUAUAUAUAAGAGAGAGAGAGAGAAGAGAGAGAGAGAAGAGAGAGACUAGGCUACUAUACUAUCGGUAGACGGAGCGUUCCGUGCUACCAAGUUGUCUUCGAUGAUGCAGCUUCCAAAUCGACGAUCAGCUCCGUUAGACUUAUCUACACUAUUAAAAGUAUUUAGAAACUAAAUUUCAUAAUUUUUCGAUACCAUUUACCUAUCAAACAAGUAGUUCUACAAUUGAACGGCUAAAAUAAAAAUCUCAUAAAAAUGAUGAUAAAAGAUUAAAUUCAAGAUCAGAUAUACUGAUCUACUCUAAAUAGUUAAAAGAAUUUUUAAUAAAAUUUUCAUCGAUUUGGAUUGUUUUACACCGUUAAACUCACAAACACCACAUCGGCCAUUAAAAUUGUCAAUUUUGAAAUCUUUUGAUCACUAGUUAAAUAAAGUCGAAAAAAUCUGAAAUUUAGUUUUCAAAUACUUUCAAUAGUGUAGAUCAAGUCUAACGGAGCCGAUCGUCGAUUUGGAAGCCGCAUCAUCGAAAACAACUUGGUAGCACGGAGCGUUCCGUGCUACCGAUAGUAUAGUAGCCGGACUCUAUAUAUAUAUAUAUAUAUAUAUAUAUAUAUAUAUCUGAGUAGGCUACUAAAUUUUUAUGAAUAUAGAACCCUUCGUAUUCGUAAGUUAUUUUUAAUGAUGAAGUUUUCGAAUCGAUAAUUUACACCGUCAAAUAAGAUCUAGAGUAUUUAAAACUUCUAGACAAUAAAUUUUGUAAAUUUUCGAAUUUAUAAUAGUUUCCAUUAAGCAGGCAUAAAAUGAAUGGUUAAAAUCGAACGAUGCCUUAAAAUGGAUGACCGGAUACUUUAAUUUAUGAUCGGAGUUAUUAAUCUUUAUCUAGAUAGUGAAUAGAAUUUUCUAUCAAAAAUUCAACCGAUUUUGAUUUUUUUACACCGUUAAACUAGCAAAUUAAUAUUCUAUACCGAUCGUUAAAAAUGAUCAAUUUUAAGAUCUUUUGAUCGUAAGGUAAAUGAUAUCAAAAAAAUUAUGAAAUUUAAUUUCUACAAGUUUUAAAUGCUCUAGAUAAUAUUUAAUAGUAUGGAUCAUCGAUUUGGAAGCUCUCUAUCACCGAAAAUAACUUAUGAAUUCGAAAGUGAUUGUACUCAUAAAAGUAUAAUAGCCGGACUUUAUAUAUCUACUUGAACAAGGAGGAGUUCAAUGCAAAGAGUUUAAGAUUUGGACAAAAAAUGAUUCAUACGGUUCAUCAAAUUGUCUUAACGAGAUCUCGUUGAGAAGCUCUUAAAUAAAAUUCUAAAAAUGUACUUUAGACAUAGAAAUUAUUGUGUGGACCGAGUGCACCGCGCCGCCCACUAGAAAAAAAUUAAUUUUGUGACAGAUAUUCCACAUAUGCAAAUUAAUAAUAACUUCCAACUGGACAUUUCAAUAUUCCACAUAUACAAAAAAUUUUAUGUACUUCACCGAGAUUUUUUGAAUAUUCACUUUAGUUUCUUUUAAUUUUAACUUUGUCACUGAUUUAACGAAAAAAAUUAAUAGAAUUGAUAAUAAAAAGAUAAAAAUAAAACCGCAGGAUACUAAAUUAGUACACUUUAAAUCAUAUGGUACUAAAAUGAGAAAGUAUAAAAUCACAUGGAUGGUAUUUGAAGUUUUUCUAAAAAAAUAAAAAAUCCAAACUGGUCUCUUUCAACCUAAUGUAAAAUUUUCAUACCAAAUAAGUUAUUGAUUUUUUAUAAUUUAUUGCUGCAUACAUUUUUUUGAAUUUUUCCAAACAUAAAAGUGAAUGUGUUCGAAGAACGCAAUUGGUGUAUUUGUUUCGCUGAAAUCGAAGAGGGGUAAAAAAAUUUUCAGUCGUAAAUAUCCACUUUCAUUAUUUGGUGUACUGUAACUUUAUCUUCGGUCGAAACUCAAACUCUUGAAAAUACUGUAAUCUACUUAGGCCCAUCCAAAGCCUAAGUUAAUUACACAAAUAAUAAUAAUAAUAAUAAUAAUAUAUAAUAUAUUAACUUAUCUCUUAUAUCUACAUAUUUUAUGUCAUUCACUGUCGGCAAAAACAAAUAGCAAAACUGGAGCAACUUCAGUUACACAGAUAUGCAAACAAAUUAACAACAGAAAAAAAAAAAAAAAUCUUUAUCUAAACUCUCAUUUAGCUGAAAAUUUGUUUUAAUAUGAACUUCAAUAUUCUCUAUGAAACAAAUAGGUCCAAUAUUUAUAUAAAAAUAUAGAAACAUCAUUCUAGAUCUUUUAUCUUAAGUUAUUAGAGAAAAUGACUAUUUUUUAUUAUUUAAUAUAAUAUCGAAAUAAGAGAUUCUCAAUUUGAAUUUCAUGACUGUUUUGCAUUAUUUACCAAAGAAACAAAGUACUCUACCCAAGGAGAGAGCCUACUAUGUCACACUUAUAUCACAUCAUUAAGUAACAAGCCAAUUAAAUUUCUAUAUUUGAAAGAAAAAAGUAUAAUAAAAUUAAUUUUCUAUUAACUAUGAUGGGACAUAUAAAUCCAAAGAAAAUAAUUAAAAAAACUUCAAAUAGCACCCCUGUGGUUUCGCAGUUUUUUAUUUUAGUACCAUAUGAUUUAAAGUAUAUUAAUUUAGCAUCUUGUGGUUUUAUUUUUUUCUCUUUUUAUUAUUUUCUUUAUUAAUUUUUUUUAUUAAAUCAGUAACAAAGUUAAAAUUAAAAGUUACUGAAGUGAAUAUUUGAUAAACAUAGGUGGUGGGUAUCUGAAGUUUUUUGUAUAUAAUUUAACGAAAUAUUAACGGACGAACUGACGAAAAGAGAAAAAUAAAAUCACAGAAUACUAAAUUGAUAUAGUUUAAACCAUAAGAUAUUAAAGUGAAAAAAAUGUAAAACUAUAUGAAUAGCAUUUGAAGUUUAUUCAAAAUAAUUUUAUUAUUUGGAAUCGCCACGUCAGCAAUAUUUUCGUGCAUCUUAGAUUUUUUUUCCCAUUAGCUGUGACACACAAGCCUGUUACACGGAGGAACAGCGAAAGGAACAGAUCGUACGGCUGCGAUGCAACCAUCCCCGACACGAAAACCAGGAGGAGUGACGUCACCUUCGCCCGUGUCGGACGAAUCGUGUCGGUCGCGCGACAGGAGGGGCAUCCCGGCCGUCCGAUCGCGAUCGGGCGGCCGAUACGAGGUGGGCCCGGGGCACAAUCCCCGAGGAGGGAAGCGGACGAACCGGAAUCCAGCGGAAGCCCUGUCGGCCGGCCGGGUGGGGGUUGGCAGUCGGCACUCGCCAGUGACAGUGGCAGUGGCAGUGGCAGUUCUGUAGAUUCCUGAAAAAGUGGAACGCAUUUACUCCCCUAUUCUUUUUAGGGAAAAUUUUGUCGAUGCCCUUCUAAAACCAUCUAAUUUCAUAAAUGCCCUUUUACAAAUUGAAAUAUCAUGUAUACCUCCUCAAAUUUAAAAAACUUUCAAAAAUAGUCCUGCCAUCAAGUCUCCAUCAAUAUUAAAGUUAAUAAUAUUUAUAUUCCAACUUUACUCCUCUUAAUUAUUCAUUAGUCAAUUAAUAAUUCUAUUUCAUAAAUACCUUAUAUUAUAUUUCAAAAUUAAUUAAAUUCUAUCGAAACUAAAAAUUUAGUAAAAUUCAAUUGAUUUUAGUUUAAAAAAUUAUUGAUUUUAAUUAAAUAAAUAUUUCUAUUUGGAAUAAAUUGUAGUUAAAUUAAAUUUCAUUUUGCUUUUAUUGUCGGAAUAAGAAGAUAAUUUAUUUUAGUUAUACCUACUUUUUUUACUGCAUCGAUUGUAAAGUAAUAAAUUUUUUUAUUUGACUACUUAAUAUAGAGAAAAUUCGUCACUAUAAAUACAUUACAACUAAGAGCAUUAAUAUGCAAUCCGACCUCAAAUAAAAAAAUUAGUUAUAUUAUAAAAGAACAAACUAAAUUCUUGUAAUCAAUGGACUUUACAUGAACCAAUAAUAAUUUUAAAUAAUAAAUUAAAAAAAAAUUAGAUAAUGAAAAUUUUCACAAAUUAAGUAGUCAAAUCCAUUAAAUUUAAUACCAUUGACUAAUUUUCAUUUAAUAGUUAAUUAUUAUUAGCUAAUUAACCUAUUAAUUGAAUUUCUUUAUUAAUUGAUUACAAUAGUUGAAAACUGAAUGGAUAAAGAAAAUUUUAAAAAAUGGACCACGUACAUUUAUUUGCCCCUCAAUAGUUUGGGGGCAAAAUGGACAAUUUUAUUCUUAAACUUCAUUAUAUCAUGGUAUAAAUAAAAUUAAAAUGAGUUGAGGGUAUUUUUGAAACAAAGUAAAUAUUUGUAGGGAUAAUUUUGAUAUUUCAAAUUAUGUAAGGGCAUCUAUGAUAAUUUUGAACUUUUGAGGGGUACAAAUGAAAUUGCCCCUUUUUUUAAUUUAUUUAUCCUUUUUUAAAAAAAUAAAUUUUCUUUAUGAAUUGAAGGGAUAAUAUGAUAUUAUGAUUUAUGUUUUUUUUUUUUCUUUUGCAUUUAACCAUCUCGAAAAAAAAAAAUUCUAAUAAAUUUAUAUUUAUAUAAAGAAUCAUUUUCUUACCACGCAAGCGCUUAGGUAGUAUUAUUAAGUUGGACACGCUAAUUUAAUCAUCGUGUUUAAACACGGGAAUUGAUCAUCGUCUAACUUUUUGUAUUUUUUUUCGUUCCUAAAUAAAAAAAGAGAGAUCAGGAUAUGGAUAUGAAUAUAAUAAUUCUAUCACCGUAUUUAAACACGGUGACCGUAUUUAAACACGAUGAUUUAUUUACCGUAUUCAACUUAAAAAUUCAAACGUGACGCUUGCAUGGCAAGAAGAGAGCCAUAUGUGUAAAUAUAAAUUUGUUAGAAUCAUUUGUAAAAUUUUUGUUAAUAAAGGCUAAAUGUAAAAAAAAAAAGCCCUAUUAUCUAAUAUGCGCUUUCAAAUUCUAAAAUAUCUUAUUUAUUUUUUAAAAAAUUAAAAUAUUUUUGUUAAUUUUAAAUAAUUUGUUCUAUGGUUCAUUAAUGGAAUUGGAGUUUAGCAGAGUACUUUGAUAAUUUUAUAAUUAAUAUGAAAAUUUUAAAUAGUAAUAAAGGGUAAACAAGAAAAAGCCUCUAUGCAUAUAUAUUUUAUUCAGAAUAUGAUAAUUUACUUUUUAUUUGAAUGCAUGAAUAUCUUAUUCCGUAUAUUUUUGUGAUUGAUUAUAUUUAUCAUAUGAGAAGUGUGAUCAAAUAUUUAGAAUUAAAAAUUAUAUUCAAUUUUCAAAUUAUUAUUUUGAAUAAAAAAAUUACCUCAUAAGUGAAAUAUGUUAUAUCGCCAAAUUGCGGAUAUCAAGAUCCUAUCAAUAAGCAAAAAAAAAAAAAAAAAAAAAUCUCUCUUUGCAAUCACACAACAAAAAAUCCAAACUGAGCCAUUAAACCAUAUUCAAAUAUCAAAAUAUAACAACAUAUCACCGACUGUCCGUAGAGCAAGUGGCAAAGCUUGGUGGUUUGUACCGAGACCUAAGUUCGAAUCCUAGUUGAUUACAUUUCUAGCUAAGUUUAUUCAAAUAAAAUAAAGAAACAGAUAGCGUGCUACUACUCAAAAAUAUAUAUAUAUAUAUUUACAAACAUAUCUAAUCAUAUUCUAUUCUAAAAAUUUUCUAUUGUGCUUAUAAUUAAAAGUUAGAAGGUUAUUAAUUGUUUAAAUUAAAAUAACAUAUUCAACUUUCAAAUUAUUUUUUAAAAAAUAAAUUAUUUCAUAAACGAAAUAUGUUAUUCUCUCAAAUUCUAAAAAAUAUAUAUAUAUAUAUAUAUAGUAGGGCUACUAUGCAAUUAGGAGCACAGCAGCCCUUGUGCUCCUAACUUUCUAACCACCAUCAAGUUUGUUGGGUGGUUAGAAUGAGAGAGGAGGGAAAUAUUGAAGAGAUUUUUCUAGUACUUGUCACAUUUGCUAGACAAAAAUUAUGUGGGCAUUUGUUCCCAAACAACUUGUUUGCUAAACAAAAAUUGUGUACAGACUCUCAUCACGACUGCUCCUUUCUCUCUCCCUCUCUCUAAAAAUUCGGAGCCCACAAUUUUUUUUUCUUUUUUUUUUUUUUCAUUUCCGAGGAUUGUGAUGGGCGCCGGCAUUGUCCCCAAAUAAAUUGUUUGGAGACAUUUUUGAAACACUUUUAUAUAAGUGUCUUAUUUAUACCAAAUUGUUUUAAAAAAUCUAUUAAGACCUAAAUAUAAAGUCCAAUCCAAUCAAGAACAAAAAGUUCCUACCCAGCCCACUGGGCCCGAUUACAAAUAAAAAAACAAAGUAAAAAGAAAAAUUGAUCAUCUUCUUUCCUUUUCCUCCUUUGCCGAUGCAGUUGGCGAAAUAGGGUUUCGGCGGCUGGAGUUCGGCCGCGAGGAUCUCGCAGGGACCGUAGGGGGCUACAAUCGCCACGUAUCCCUCCGCCACAAGUAGUUGGAGUAGUAAGUGCCAAAUAUUAAGGCAGCCUUACCUAUAGCGACUCCACAUAUAGCAAUAUUUUUAAAAGGUGUCGAUAAUUUAGUCUGCAACACUUUUUUUUUUAUCUGUACUGAUAUUUAAUAGUAUCGCUAUACAUUGUCUUUGUUGUAGCGAAUGCUUGAUAAUUUACUUUAUACUUGAAUUAUUUGUCUUUCAAAUGAUUUAAAAAUAUGUGCAACAUAUAAGUAAAUAUAUGAGUCUUAUUAUUUAAAAUUCAAGUCAGAUCAGCAAUCUGCUUUUCAUAAAAGUAGUAUUUUAAAUAUUUUUUGAACUUCAAUAGUUUUUAGGUAAAAUGUUGAAACUUUUUUCACAAAUAUUUACUGUUUUUUUUUAGGAAAAACUUCAAAUACCCCCAUUUUGGUUUCACUUUUUCUCAUUUUAGUAUCCUGUGGUUUAAAGUGUAUCACGUUAGUACCCUGUGGUUUUGCACUUUUUCACUUUAGUACCCUGUGGUUUAAAGUGUAUUAACUUAGUACUAUGUGGUUUCGCACUUUCUCAUUUUAGUACCCUGUGGUUUUUAAACCACAUGGUACUAACUUAAUAUAAAAAUAAAAUCAUAUGGUACUAACUUGAUACAAAAAUAAAACUACAAAGUACUAACUUGAUACACUUUAAACCACAGAAUACUAAAGUGAGAAGUGCGAAACUACAGGGAACUAACUUGAUACACUUUAAACCACAGUAUACUAACUUGAUAUACUUUAAACUAUAGGGCACUAAAAUAAAAAAGUACGAAACCACGGGAUUUUUUUAAAGUUUUUUUUUUUUUUUACUUCUAUCUCCCGGCCUUUCAAAAUAUAUAUUUAGUUUUCUUAAAAUUUCAAAAAUAUUUUCAGAUUACGAUAUUAAUGAAAAGAAUAAAAUAACCAAAAUACUUUUAUUUGUUCUAUUAUUUUAAAAAUAUUUUAGAUAUAUUCAAUUAUAAAUUAUUAAAAGUAGAUGUAAUAUAAAAGUGGAGGUUAAGUAUCUCAAUUUGAAAUUUUAAUAAAAGAAUAAAAUAUAGAUUUUCGAUACUCAUAAAAAAUAAUAUUAAUAUUAUUAGAAAUAAAUAAAUUAAUAAUAUUCGAUGGGAAAUGACGAGGAGGGGCCCACGGGCGCUGCACCGCGCGUGCAUCUCGCUUUCGCACGUUAUUCCCCGACAACGCCUGCGAUGAUCAGAGCCGUCCGAUAGGGACUGUUACCGCCCCUGAUCAACCCACCCUCGUGAACCGAAUCCGCGUGCACCGAUGCACCGCGCUAUUAUUUUUGGGGCCUCCGUGUCCCAUCGCUGUCCCCCGCAGGAUCUAUAUAUAUAGCAGUUACAUCAUAGGAGAGAGAAAGUACAAUAAAGAUUUAAAAUUUUAAUUUUUGAGAUUGAAAAUUUAAAAAUAAAUAUUAUAAAUUAUAAAAUUAUAAAAUUUUAAAUUUGAAAUUUUAAAUUUAAAUAUGCAAAAUUUAAAAUUUUAUAAUAUAAAAUUUUAAAAUUUGAUAUAUAUGGGGAGAGAGGAGAGGGAAUGGUAGUUUAUGGUGCACUGAAAAUAGUAAGAGGACACGUGGCAAGACAGUAACAUUAGUGCAUGGACUUUAGUAUAUAGUAAUAGAUAAUAGAUUAUCUGAGUAGGGUUACUAUACUCUUAUAAGUAUAGAAUCCUUCGUACUCAUAACUUGUUUUCGAUGAUAGAGCUUCCGAAUUGACGAUCCACAUCGUAAUUUUGCGAAAUCAUAAUAAAGUCUAUCAAGCAGGUAUAAAAUGAAUGGUCAAAAUCAAACGACUUCUUAAAAAUGAAUGAUUAGAUCCUUCAAUGUAAGAUUGGAGUUAUUGAUCUUUAUCUAGAUAGUGAAUAAAAUUUUAUAUCAAAAAUUCAACCUAUAUAUUCCAAUUCUUUUACACUGUUAAACUAGCAAGUAUUCUAUACCGACUAUUAAAAAUUAUCAAUUUUAUGAUAUUUUGAUCGUAAGGUAAAUGAUGUCGAAAAAUUAUAAAAUUUUAUUUCUAGAAAUUUUAAAUGUUCUAGACAAUGUUUAACGAUAUAAAUUGUCGAUUCGGAAGCUCUAUCAUCGAAAACGACUUAUGAGUACAAGGGCGAUCGUACUUAUUAGAGUAUAGUAGCCGGACUCUAUUUAUAUUCAGUUUAUUAUAUAUUUUCUAAAAAAUAAUAAAUUUUUUUUAAAAAAGGUUAUGACGUGAUAGGUGAAUCUAAAGAUAUUAUGAGAACACCACAUCAGUAAUGCGACUGUUGUAUUCUAGAUUUUUUUUUUCUUUAUUGGUCCAGUUAUUUACGGCACGUCCAAUCGGACAGCUCAAAUCUUCUUAGAAGUAUCACGUUGCCACGUGUCGGACUCCUGUGUGUCCUCUGCGACGCUGCAUGGCCGGUUUAGUGGUUGUUAUCUGAAAUUUUAUGAAACAAAUAGUAAAAAAUCAGUUUAGUGGUUAUUUUUUGAAGUUUUAUGUAAGAAAUAGUAAAAAAUUAGGAUAAAUAUACAUUAUAUGUUUGUUUUAGUAAAAGAUAUAAUGUUGUACUUAAUUAAUUAAGAAAAUAUUUUUUGCAAUUUUAGCGGAAAAUAAAAGAGCAUUUAUCCAUAUGUUUUUUCCUUUUUUUUUCAUCAAAUAGCAUAAGACGGCCAAACAACUAAUAAAUUAUUAUCAAAUUGGGUAUUUAUAAUAAUUUUUUUUAAAAUUAGAGAAAUAUUUUUUGAUAUUGGCACUUUUAGAAAUNNNNNNNNNNNNNNNNNAUAUAAAAUUAAAGAUUGCAGGAAGGGUACGCAUAAAAUUAACCCAAGUGAGUAGGAAUUACACAAAAAGGUUGUGGAAAAAAAUAAAAAAAGAAAAAAAAAAGAAAAAGGUACUGAUCCUAAAUAAAUCACGAGCUGAGUUGAGUAUUACAAUUCUAAAUUACGCAGGACCAACCAAAAAAAUAAAAAUUCGUCACGGCGUAAAAUUUAUAGGGCCUAUAAAUUUUGAAACAUUCGACCACGGGCCUAAUAUUAUUUGUUUAAAAAUUGGAUCGGGCCGAAGGGGUCGGGCUCGAAAGCUUCGAUGUAUGGCUCACCUUGUUGGGCUCGAUCGAAAGCUUCCGAUUCUAAUUCGGGCCACAAUUGGGUCCAAUCUUGGGCCAAUGUGGCUAAAUUUGGAGCCAUUCAUGUUUCAGUGCUAAAAGAGAACCCUAACUAGUUCAAAAUAGUAAUAUAUAGCUCUUAUCGAAUCGCAUCGAAUUGAAUUCUAUUCGGAUUUGAUUCCAAAGCUGAGUAUAAAUGCACUACAAAUAGGAAAUUGGCUCGAGUCUGACUCGACCUAACUGCUGUAGUUCUAUUUCUUUGUCUAGCGUGAACGAAAAGCUGUUUAAGAUGUUUUAUAUGCUGCUUCGAAAAAGUGGCUUAUAACCAACAGAAGCACUACAUUCUGCAACAGGACCAAAUAGUCGAGAAUCCGAGCCGAGUCCCCGAACUGUGGUCUCAAUUUUGGGUCCAAUUUGAACCAUAUCAUUUAAGUUAGUUACAACUCAAAGGUGCUAGCUAAUGGGCACUGUCCAUUAGCAACAGAACCAACAUAAACACUACAUUCUGCAACAGGACCAAACAAUCGAGAAUCCAAAUCGAGUCCCCAAACUGUGGUCUCAAUUUUGCGUCCAAUUGUAAGUUAGUUACGAUUCAAAGGUGCCAGCAAGUGGACACUGUCCACACUCUCCCUAGUGCCACAAAACGACAAAAAAUGUACCUAUAAUUGGAUUGGAUUGGAUUGGAUUGGAUUGGCCCGGUCACGUGAAACCACCCGACAACGAGUCCAACCACUAGCGAGACAAACCCUUUCCAGUACGGUCCAAACCCUACGGAACAGCGUGAUCUGCUGAUCUCACCUAAGGCAGUUGACUAAAAAUUUAAUAAUUAGUAUUCAAAAUCUCAAAUUCAAAAUUUAGUUAUUUUAUAUUUCUAACUAGAUGUAAUUUAAACUCUCUCUUAUUCCCGUAGCUAAAAUAUAAGAUUGUCCUCCUAACUUUUUCUUAUUUUUUGGUGGAGAAGUAUUUAGUUACUGUCGUAUUAUUAGCACUUAUCAUUAAUUUUAAAAGUUCGAGCUGUUAGAAAUACGCAACUAAUUUACUUAAAGCAUACAGAUACAGUGCCAACAGGUCUUGAUUGUGACUCGGCCCAACCAGCCUCACUCCACUUCGAACAUAACUCGGCCUACCCAGUCUCACGCCACAGGGCAGAAUACUGGCCCAUUUAAGCUCGAACACCUGUACAUAUUUGCAGCAUGCGAGAAUAGUACCUGUGACCUUUGGUCUGAUACCACUUGUCGAAUUGUUGGCGCUUACCAUUAAUCCCAGAAGCUCGAUCUAAUAAAAAUACGCAACCAAUUCACUUAAAGCGUACAGAUACAGCGCCAACGGGCCUCAAUUGUGACUCGGCCCAACCAAUCUCAUGCCACUUCGAUCAUGACUCGACCCACCCUGCCCCACGCCAUUUCGAACACGACUCGACCAAAUAUGAUCUUCCGCUACAAGACAGGAUGCUGACCCAUUUAAGUCAACAGUUACGUGCUUCUGUUAUUGUGAGUAUUUUAUAGCAUUAAAGAAAAAAGAAAGAAAACGUUGACAGAGGAAUUGAUCGACCAUUAAGGCAAGUAAAAAAGGACCAAACGGUUGGUACAUGAGGUCUUAAAUUUGAAGCCUAAAAAUUGCUUCGCAUUUUCAGUUAAGCCAAUUUUAUUUCUAACAAAAAUAUAAACAAAAUAGAUAGCAUGGUUCCUUUCUCUCUAUGCAAUAAAAGAAAAAAAAAACAAAUAUUUGGCAAAAUUUAAACUUCUGCCCUAGAAGGUAUCAUCAAUGUUAGUUUUGCUGUCGAAAACAUUGAAAAAUCUGCUAGAUAGCCAUAGACUUAAAUUCUCAAAAAAUUCAAAUUAGCGUUUGGUUAAGUCACUAAGGCUUAGGCUUAGUUUGGUAUUGAGGUCUAUCUAACGCCAUUAGAUAAAAUAGAGUUGAGCAAAAAGCAUAUAGGGAUAUGCUUCUGCGUUCUCCGGUGGGACCGCAGAAAAUAUAUCGUAACCGACUCAUUGCGAUAUGCGGAACGCAAUAUUAUAUACGGAAACAAACAGGGCAUUUUUCCAUCGUCGUUUUUCACCGCACGUAACGCAAUCUCCCCGCAAUCCCAAACAAAUACUUUAGUUGUUGGUGGUAAAACCAAUACUUUAGUUCUCGUCAAACUUGAUUUCCACCUAACUAUAAUUACCUUAAUUCGUAAUUAUACUUAAUUAAAGAUUUCGUAUUCAAAUCCUGUUAGAAAAGUGUUGAACUAAAGGGGCAAUUGCUUAUAUAUUCUUGAAAAAUUUUCGAUUUUUUAUUUGGGUUAAAUGCAUACGCGUCUCUGUAAAUAUAGUAAAUUACAAAUAUAUCUAUGUAAAGUUUAACUUUUAUAUAUUGUCUUUGCAAAAGUUCUAAUAUUUUCAAAUAUGUCCCUUCGGUUUGUUACCGUUAUAAAAUUGUUUAUAUUUUAAGUGAAAUAUUAAUUUUACCAUCACAAAUAUGUCUCUUCAAAAGCCACAAUAGUAUAAUAUAAAAAGAGCAAAAAUAUCAAGUUAUUUUAUAAACUAACCAACCAGGGUUAAGUAUUAAACCUAUGAUUAACUAAAGUUUUAUAAUAGAUUCUAACGGUAGGGAUAUAUUUGAAAAUAUUAGGACUCCUGUAGGGCAACAUAUGAAAGUUGUACUUUGCAGGAAUACAUUUGUAAUUCACUAUAUUUGUAGAGACUUGUAUGAAAUUAAUUUUUUUUAUUUACCCUAUUUAAAGGCUAAUAUUAAAAGUAUCCCUUUACAGUUCCAAAUUCUUUCAAACCUAUCCUUAAAAUUAAAUUCUAUUAAUGAAUUGUUAAAAAUAACCAUUAUCUUUGUAAAAUUAUUAUUUUGUCUUUUCAAAUAUACUCUUUUAUCGUCACCAAGUUUUCUUAUUUGUUCUUAAAUUAGAGAAAAAAAAUAUUUUGACUUCUCUUUCAAAUAUAUUAUUCUACCAUCACCAAAUUUUUUUUUAUUUGCCCUUAAGUUAAGGACAGAAAAGAUAUUUUGAUUUUUUUAACUCCGGUAAAAAUGUAAUCCAAAUUUAACUCAAGGUGACUCAGUGGAUACUAACAUUGAAAGUAUUUUCGAAUAACAGAAAAAAAAAAAACAUUAAAAGAAAAUAUUUGAAACAAAAAAAAAUAGUAAAAAUAAAUAAGAUAUUUUAGAAGCAUUGAAAACUGUGUGAAGGCAAUUAUGUAUAUUAAAAGAUACAGGAGCCAGUUUCAAAUAUCAGAAUAAUGCGAGGACUACCAUGCAAUUUUACUCUACUCUCAUUCCCCUAUAAUAUGGCUAUAUAUUCAUGUAUGAGUAUCCACUACUCACCUCUCUCUCUCUCUCUCUCUCUCUCUCUCUCCAUUAAUGGCUACCACUCUCCUCCUCUCCCUCCUCCUCCUCCUCCUCUCUCCUCUCACCUUCUCCGUUCCCACGCCCACGCCCACGCCCACGCCGACCCCGCUGGUGCGGAGCACGUGCAACGCCACCACAUACUACGACCUCUGCGUCGCCUCCCUCUCCUCCGACCCCGCCGCCGCCGCCGCGCGCGACCCCACCGCGCUCUCCUCCAUCCUCGUCUCCCGCGCCGCCGCCGACGCCGCCAACGCCUCCGCCGCCGCCGCCUCCCUCGCCGGCGCCGCCGCCGCCGCUGAGCCCUCCGCCGCCGCGCUCCGCGCCUGCGCCGCCAAGUACGCCGCCGCGCGCGACGCCCUCGGCCGCGCGCUCGCCGCCCUCGCCGCCGCCGAGUACGACUACGCCUUCGUCCACGUCGGCGCCGCCGCCGAGUACCCCCGCGCCUGCCGCGCGCUCUUCCGGCGCCAGGCCCCGCGCCUCGCCUUCCCCGCCGAGAUCGCGCGGCGCGAGGACGCGCUCGAGCGCCUCUGCACCGACGCGCUCGACAUCAUCACGCUCCUCGGCGACUAAAGAAAUGCAGCGUAGCUGGAGAUGCAUACAAUCUACUUGAUUAUAAUACAAUACGCGGCACUGUAGUUAUAAAUAAUUUAUUUAAUUACAUACAGUCGAGAACUUAUGUUUAUAUAUUUUAUUAUUUUUUAAUAUGUAAUGAUGAGGUUAUCUUUAAUGUAAACAAAUUAUAUUUUGUGUUGAAGUUACACUUUCCAGCUUUGUGAAUUAAUUUCAAAUUUAUCAAACUAAAUACGCUGUGUAAUUAUAACUAAAUACAACUAACAUAGCUUUUAAUUAAUGGCCUAUUUGGUUCACAAUAUCUUUUGAUGCCUUAAAAUGGGAACCCUAAUAAAGUGAGCGUCGGAAUUAUAAAAUUUUAUGUUUGUUUCAUCAUAGAAAUCUGAUAUGAUAGAAAUUAAAAAUUUUUGUAAAAUUCUGUAAUUUCUUUAAACGUGGAAUUUAAAAACCCAUCUCAACACUAGGUAUCCUUUUCCGAUAAAUUUUGAUUUAAAAAGGCUAUAAUACUUUUGUCCAAAUUUUAUAUCUAUCACAAAAAUUUAUAUAAAUUGAGUAUAAAAAUUAAAUAAAGUUAUAAAUUUCCUAAAUUUAGGAGUAUUUAAAUAGAUUUAAUAUUCAAAUAGUCAUGAUUUUUAUGUGAUUAACUUAAUGUAAAUGAUAAUAUUAGUCUCCACAAAAAGAAAUAUUGUACUAAUUUUAUUAACAUAGUUGGACAAAAUCUUUGGUGGAGUCAAUACAAAAAUAAUAUAUUUUUGUGUAUUAAUUCUAAAAUAUAGAGUCCGGUUACUAUACUAUCGAUAGUACCUUGCGCUCGAUGCUAUCGAAUUUUUCGCUGCCAGAACUACUCCUUUAAUCAUUUCUACUCGUUACAUCAUAAAAUUCAACUAAUCACUCUCAUAACUCUAAGAGAUUAUUAUCAUCCUAAACCGCACAUCCAUUCAUCCAAGGGCCGAAAACCGAAUAGCAUAAUACUAUUAAUAAUAUAGUAAUCUAAUUCCUAUAUAUCAAAAAAAAAAAUUUCAUGCAACAGAAAUUCUAUAAUAUGAAUAAAUUUUUUAAAUAUUAAUUUUAAGUGAAUAAGUUAAAUCCUAUGAAUUAGGCAUGCCUCAUUGUGCCACCACAUAUGAUAUGUACUACAUUAAAUAGUUGAUAAUUUUUUGUUUUGAUAUUUAUUUAUAGUGAACAUGGUACACUUGCACACACACACUAGUUAGGUUUUUUUUUUCUCUUUGUUGAGAGACAAAAUUAGAGUACAUAUUAGAGUACAUAUUAUUAUCUCUCCAAAGUGCUUAUUUAGUCUAAGCCUAGGUUGUUGUUCUGUGUUUUUUUUUUUUCAAUCUUCUUUUUACACACUAGCUAGGUUUUUUUAAUAUUCUUUUUCACAAUGUUUCAUAAUGUUUCAUAAUGUUUCUAAUAAGUCAACCAAAAUCCGGAAUUUUCUCCCUCUGUCCCUCUCCAUCAAUUUUUUUUUAAUAAAAGACAGAGUAUCCUAGCUAGUGUAUAAUUCUUAAUUUGUCGUAAUUGUUUAGAGAAUUAUAUAACCAAAGCUCUCUUUUUCUACUCUGUUAAAUAUAAAUAUUAAAAAUAUUAUUUUUUGAUAGUUUAAUUUUUUUAAAAAAAUAUUUAUUUUAAUAAUUUAACAUGAUAUCAGAAUGAAAGCUGCAAAGUUUUAAUCCCAUCAAAUUCUUAAUAUCAUUUAUUUAUUUUUCUAUUUAAAUAGUAAAAUUAUAGCUUUUUUUUCAAUAUAUAUAUUCAUCCAAAGUGGGAGACCCAAUUCCUCAAAUUAGAACUAGGGUAAGUCAUAAAGAAAAGUUGAAAAUUUGGUGCCUACUAUUUGGCCCUACUAGCUUUUAAAUGGAAUUUUCUUAAUAUUAGGAGGAGUACUUCUCAUUGAUAGUUAGUGCUUACUAGCCUACCACAUAAGAUGCUUUAACACUUGUGUUGGCAUUUGACUCUUUGGUGGUCUCGUUGACCACUUGCAUUGACCUUGUCUUCCUUAGAUCAUAGCAAUUCUACAAAAUAAAAACCCUAAAAUACUGUAGCAUAUAUAUUUCAACUCACUGUUCGCAGGUCAAUUUGUGUUCUGCUCGAAAAUGAGCUCAAGUGCAACACUCAAAUACUCUAGCAAAUUUAAGCAGGACUGAUAAUUUAACUCAUUGUUCGCAGGUCAGGUCGUGUCCGACUCGAAAUGAAUUCAAAAUCAAUUGCCAGUGUAGUAAAUAAGACGAACAUAAUUUAGGGUCAGUUCACUCUUGUACAGCUCCUUAACAACCUUUACAUAUAAAAAUAAUUUUUUUAAAAAAAAUAAAAAAGUAAUCACUCCACCACUGGCAAGACAACCUUUAAUCGCCUACGGGGACCCAACCUGUGAAAUAUAAAGUCGUAAGGUUGACAGAUCUAAAAAGUAAGUCUACCAAAAUUAAGUUAGGGAAGAAGCCACUGGAAUGAAAAGAAUUGGUGUAGAACCUUCUAGACACAUAAACUAUAUUUUUAUAAAAAACUAAAAAUAAAAAAAUGCCACACUCUAUUUUAUAAAGGUGAAAAUAUAAAGAACUUAUCUGAACUAUAAAUCAUUUUGAGCUUGUUAUCUGAUCUUUUAAAAUUUUAAUUUUAGUAUUUUACUACUCAAUCUUUCUAUUUGUUUACUUUGAGCCAUUCAACGUCACUUUGAUUUCAAAUUCGAAUACGCCGUUUAUCUUUCAAACAAGUUAAAGAUUGGGCAAUAGUCUGCAAUCUAAUUUAAAAUGAUUCAUAGUUCAGAUAAAACAAGUAGAGGAUCGAAACCUCAACUUCUUAACUAAUUUAGAAAACCUCAAAAGGUUCAUUCAUUCACUACAAAUUAGAAACAAGCAUUAGUUCACUACACCACCACUUCCCGGUCGAACAACCAACUAAACCGGACCCUCCUGGGCCGGGCCUUCGCGGCCCGAUCCUCGGCCCGUUCCUGUACCUUCCUCAUCCUCGGGCCCAGCUCGCAUAUAAAAUCGCGGGCCCUCCGGCCCUCUCCGCUCAGUCCUCUCUCCAACUGCUGCAGUUUCCAUCUGUCGACUAAAAACUCUACUAUCCCGGCGUAGUCGCCCGCGGUGUAUACCCCGAUCUUUUGGGCCACUGCAGAGAAGUUCUCGAACAGCCGCGCGUCCCGGCCGUCGUGCAUGAGGUGCGCCGGCAUUGCGAUGCGCUUGCGCAUCAUGUCGGCGAUGGCAAUCACCGCGCCAUCCGGGUCGAGCUCCAGGAGCUGCUCCACGAUGCGCUCGUACGCGUGCUCGUGCCGCUUCUCGUCGGCGGCGAUGGUGCCGCAGAGCCGGGCCAGGACGGCGUCGCCGCGGGCCUUGGCGAGCCGGGCCGUGUUGCCGUGCGAGACGAACGUGGCCCGCUCCUGGAACGACGUGUAGACGUAGCCCAAGUAGGGGUUGUUCUCCGUGCCGGGGUCCUGAAAAACGGCCCAAAAGGCCCAAUAGUGAAUUUAUGAUUAUACUUGGGCCAGGCCCAAAAGGCCCAUUGGGCCAGAGUAACUAAGCAGUACAUUGGUAUACUCCCAUGUUAGGAAAUAGAGGGUCACUUUAUCAAUCAAUUUGAUGAGUAUUGUUUUUUACUUUUUCUAUUUUUUUAAAAAAAUUGUGUCCAUGGCAAAAUUAUGUACCGUUUAAUAGUGAACCGAUUAAGCUUUUUGACUUUAUAUAUAUCAGGAAAUUAACGGCUAAUAGUCAAAAUUUGUACUUAACACAACCCAAAAAAAUAGUCAAAAAAUUCUCUAUAAAAAAUGGGAAAAAAUUAUUGUGCUCAAAAGUCUAAACUAAGGACAUUAUUCAAACAACCUUUUCGUCAAAUAUCAUCAACAGCAUUAACUUUUUUAAAAAAAGGGAUUGUCCCCGAGCUGUUCAUAUAACUUUAAGAUUCAUGUUAUUGGUAAAUAGAAUAGAAAAUUGUUCCUAUGAAAAGACAAUCUAAUCAAACUGUCCAUCAAUUUGUGCAUUGUAUAUGAUGACCGCUUGAUUAGACUUUCUAUUUUAGGGGCUAAGCGACGUGGGUGCAUGCAUGCAUGCUCUUACGUACCAUUCCCGCGCCGACGAGGUACUGCACCGUCUUUUCGACCAUCCGCAUGUCGACGCGGCCGGAGAGGUACAGGUACUUCCCGAGCGCAUCACCGUGCCGGUUCUCCUCGGCGGUCCACGCCCGCGUCCACACCGCCCACGGGCUCGCGCUGGCCCCGGUCUCGUCCCGCACCCCGUCCAGCGUGUUGAUCAUCGUCUGGUACGUCGGCAGCGCCUCCUCCGUCACCAUGUCCCCCACAAGCACUGCAAGUAGCUCGUCGGGCAAUUGCGCCGACCGGGCCCUCAAUUCCCGAACCUGGGCCCCAAACUCCUCCGUGGGCCGGGCCGAGUCCGGCAGGAAGUCCGUGGGCUGCCAGCAUUGGUCCACGGGCUUCAGCAGCGGUAAGAGGGCCCGGCGGGCCCAACUCUCGAGCGAUUUGAACACCUCGGCCUUCUCCGGCGGCAUCGAGUGCGUCACGCUCCGUCGCACCAUCGGCGGUGCCGCCACCGCCGCAAUCUUAUUAAUUGAGAGCCGAGACACAGUUGAUGAGUCUGCAUUGCACACUACUAUUCUUACUACCGCGUUUGAAAAUAUGACCGCGUUAUGAUUUCCGUNUCGCGGCCGCCGCGGCGCUCCAAUUAAUUGAGAGCCGAGACACAGUUGAUGAGUCUGCAUUGCACACUACUAUUCUUACUACCGCGUUUGAAAAUAUGACCGCGUUAUGAUUUCCGUGUGUGUAUAUAUAUAGAGUGGGGUGCGGAAAUAAAUGACCUUAGAAAGGGCAUAAAAUUUCAAAAAAGGGUGGUGGUUUUAUGACGCUUGUGGCCGUUGGGGUAAAGGGUAUUUGCGUCAUUUCACAUAACGGAGAGGGUUUGUGACCGAGUUGUGCUUUUUUAACAAAACCAAUGGGUGCAGUGGUUUUAUGGUUCCUGUGGGUGUAACAUCCCCUUCGUGGAAACUAUCGCCUGGACAGGGUGCAUGAGCCGCACCAGUUAGAGCGCGAAACGUGGCAUGUUAACCAAUGAAAAGGGGGCGUGGGAUUUGGAAUCGGUGGGGCUGAGAAUAUCAUCGUGGCGGUCGAGUGUUUUGUUAAUUGGGGAUUAGUGGGGUGCGAUUAAUUAAGUUAACCUUUUUAGCGACGCCACCGGGUUUAAUUAAAGGGGUUUUGGCACGUGCGGAGGGGGCGGUGGUUGAGGCCGCAGCACGUGCCCCACAAGGCCCAUUUCUAGGCCCAUUAGAACAAUUUUUUUUUUUCUUCUUUACGUUUUUUUAAAAAUUUUUCAUGGGCCUGGCCCAUUGGGAAUCGUGGGCUUAGUCUUAAUGUAAACUAGCUCUUUAUUAAUUUAACGCAUUUAUAAUUUAUUGGCAUUUUGUGAAUAUAAAUAUUAAAAAAUAUAAUUUUAUGGUAGCUUAAUUUUUUAUAGAAUAAUAAUAUUUUUAUAAAAUUAAUUAUGGUAUCAAAACAUGACAGAGAGAAACCAAGCAAUUAAUAAAUAAAAAAAAUAUAUAUGAAUUUAUAACUUACACUUAUCUCAAUUGUAUAGUCAUGUUUUAUUCAUCGUGGUAAACCAUAUAUAAAUGGAAGCAGUAAAUGCGAACUCACUUUACACAUUUUCCAUCCACACUCAUUUUAUUUUAUUAUUAUUGUUAUUAUUGGGAGACGCGUACGCAAACGACUCUCCCCAUCCAUGCAUGCAAACCCUACUUUUCAUAGGAGCCAAACAAAGCCAUGUCCUUCCUAAACCCUGCGUUCAAGAAGACGAUGGCCAUUAUCCGGAACCGCCGAGCGCAGCGGCGGCCGCUCCCCUCCUACCUCUUUGCGUGACGCUUCGGCGAUCGCUUCGUGCUUCCUUUUCACUUCUUGUAGUUUGAUAUCUUCAUCGAUACAUAGUGCUACAAGUUGCUCGCCGUGGGGGCCCGGAACGACGGUCUCGUGGACGUGAACAUGGUCUUCGGAGCUCACAACCUUGUCCUCUUCGACCGCUUUCUUCUUCUCCUUCUUCUUCUUCUUUCUGAGGCAGCAGCAGAGUGCUGCUGCCAAGAAGGCAAGGAAGAAUAGCCCGCCGAGCGAGACAAACACGACGGGGGGAGUGGCAGGGGAGGGGACGGUGAGGGGGGCAGCGGCGGCGGCGGUGUCACAUGGAGGCGGAGGGGGAGCACUGGGGCCUAGGGGGGCCGGGCGUGGAGGCGCGGGCGGGGGCAGGCGGUGGAAUUGCGGGGGAGGAGGUUAUAGCUGGAGGCGGGGAGGGGGGGCCCCAUCAUGGGACGGCGGCGGCGGCGGAGGGCUUCGCUACGCGAAGGGGGAAAGACGGGGGCGGCGGGACGGAGAGGGCGGCCGAGGGGGCUUGAAAGGGAAUGUUGAGGGGGGAGGGAAGAAGGGGAAGCCAUAGUUUUGAGGGGAGGGGAUAGAAGACAUGUUGUGUUGAGUAGGAUUAGAUGCAAACUAGCUAGGGAUGAGCAAAAUGGUGUGAGUGUGUGUUGGUAUUUAUAAGAACCAAUAUAGAUAUAUAUUGACAUGUAUAUAUAUUAAUAUAUUAUAUAUGUAGUGAAGUGUGAUUUGGUUUGCAUAUGUGUAUGACUUGGCUCCCAUGCUAAGGCUUUUGUGAGAGUUGCUUCAAAUCAAUGUGUUGCUUACCUAGCAACGUGGGGAAGGCCUUUCUCUAUAUAUAGAUAUAUAAUAUAAUUUGUGUAACUAAGAAGCUUUGGAAAAGAACUACUAUACUCAUGGUCAUGAGUAUUAUUUGUUAAGGCUUUGUUUGGUUCCGGGAUAACGAAUAUUGAAAUAAAUUUUUUAUUUCUAAAAUAAUUUGCUAUUCUGAAAUAAUUAAGAUAAAAGUUAAAUUAUUUUUGAUUAAUUUUAUGAGAUAGUAGAGAAUAGUGGGAAAAAAAAUGAUCGUUUGAAUUUGAUAUAAAAUAUAAUUUAAUAAAAAUUUCUUAUAAAAAUAAUUAUUGUAAAAACAAUUUAUAAAAUAAUUCAUUAAUAAUUAUUGUAAAAAUUAUAAUAUUUAAUAAAAAUAAUUUAUUAAUAAAUUAUGAUUUAAUAAAAAUAAUUUUUAUAUAUAUAAUUUUUUAAAAUUCUACUUAAACUUAAAUUUAAUAAAAAUAAUUUAUUAUAAUAUUUAAAUANNNNNNNNNNNNNNNNNNNUAAAUAAUAUGUAUUAAUAUAAUAUUAUUAUAAUUUUAUAAUAAAAAUAAUAUAUUAUAAUAUAUAACAUAUGAUAUCUAUAUAAUUUAGUUUAAUUCGUUUUUUAAUUUUAAUAAUGUUUGAAAUUAAACUUUGGAAUAGCACUAUUCUGCCAAAAUGGUGGAAUAAUAAAUUUCAAGUUAUUCCGGAAUAGCCAGAAAUAGCAAGGUUUGACAGGAAUAAAAUAUCUUGACCAAAAAGCACUUCAUUUGGUGGAAUAGCGGGAUAACUUUUGUUAUCCCCGCUUUAUCCCCGAAUCAAAUCGGUCCUAAAGAAUAUAAAACAAUCUCUAAUCUCCAAAAUUUUAAGCUAAUAGAGAACAAUGUUUAAAUAUCUUUAUAUUUACCACUUUUUUUACGUGAUCGAGACUUGUGGACUUGAAUUAAGUGAGAGAAAAUCGACAAAGCUAGGAGUUUGGCGUUACUAGAAUUCAGAACCUCCUUCUCUGAUAUUAUAUUAAAGAAUAUGAAACAAUCGUUAUUUUUCAAAAGCUUACACUAGUAGAGAACGAUGUUUAAAUAUUUUUAUAUUUAAUAUUAUCCUCUUUUCUUUUGUUUAUUGACGAGUUCUUUGCAAAGUUUUAAAAGUUGGUACAAAAUCUACACAUUUCUUAGUUACUUUUAAGUUUACAGGAGUAUAUGAAUUCAAACAGAUCUCUAUGGGCUCAGCCCAGCUAAAAACAUCACCUUGGGCUCCUUCAACCCAAAUAAGGCCCAAUAAAAGGGGUCUUAUUAACAGCUAAAUUUGAAUUCCCCUCUAUCCCUCCCUCCCUCAAUUGCUCGGCCAUGCACUGCGCGGCGAGGACGCAACGACGUUGGCGCACCUUCAGCGGUGUCGACGGUGGCGACAAUCUCAGCUGCAGCGACGGCAACGGUCAUGGUAAUGGUUAGAACGCACAGCAAAACCGAGAAAGAAAUCGAGAGUUUAAACCAGAGAGAAUUAUCAUAUGAGCAAUCAACUUGUUGCAAUAAUCCGCUUCUAUUAGAUUACAAAUCACUAUAUGAACUUUCAGAAAGAAUGUUAAUCGCCACUAAAAUAUGUUAAAAAAAGCGAGCCAAUUACGCUUUAAUCAUCGGUUUGUGGCAGGUUAAGAUGAAGAAUAAAUGGGCCCAAUCAAUAGACAAGUUAUCAGAUUAUUGUUAGCAGGUCAAUCCAACAAACCUGGAUAUAUGUCACAAAUUUUUAAUUAAAAAUGUGGUUUACCAAAUAGAGGUGAUGAGAAACAAGGCCUACCAACUCCUGCUUUAGGUUUACCUGUUUUUGUACGGAAAUGUAUAGCAUAUUGCCCCUUUUUAUCACGAAAAUAUGAAAAAUUCAGAUAGUAUUCUAAAAUAUUGUUGAUGAGUCGAUUUUGCAUAUAUUAUAGUUGAUUAUUGGAUUAGCUUCUCAACUAUGAUCUUUAACUUAGGUAUCACUUCUGAUAUCUAGAAACAUAUAAGACUGAUUAGCUGCGAAAGACAUAAGACUGACUCGUAAACUGUUAGAACAAAUACCGCACAGAAAUCUGAUUGUGAUUUAAAUCUAACUAAAUUUUUAUUAUGAAAAUAAAUAAAUCAAUUUACAGAUGAUCGCUAAAUCCAAAUAAAUACUUAAUUGAUCCGGAAGCGUGCGAGGCAUUGCCCUAAGGCGUAUUCCCGUCCUUACGUGCGGGAUUAACCGGGAACAACACCCCAAGGUACGACCGGAAUUCCUCCUCCUGCGAGCACGAUCGUGAAGGAGAUUGACGGUGACUCUUUCAACACCCAGCGAUAAAUAAAAAAAAUUAACUUAUGAAAAAGGGAUAUCAAAGUAAAACAAAAUUUCAUCUCUUUUACUUCUCUAUAUAAUAUUCAUAUAUCAUGAACAGUAUGUAGAGGAAUAAUCUAAUAAAUAAAGAGAAUGGGUUGAACAUUGGAAUCCUCAAAGGAUUCCAAUAGUGGAAACGGUUUCCACUAUUAAUCCAUCUCAUUAAUUAAAAUAAAUAACAAUGGAUACUAAUAAAUGAGAAUAAAAGAAUUAAUAAAUAACAAUUAAAAUAAUAAUAAUAGUAAUUAAGAAAUUUGAGUAGUAAUAAUAAUGAUUAAGGGAUUUUGAAUUUUCCUCCAACAUAAACUGUAUACUAAAAUCUCAUUACGUAUCUAUUGUAUUAUCUUUUAUAAAAAGUGAUGAAUCACAUCUUAUAUUAGUUUUGCAUACGAGAGUGACUCAAUUAAUAACAUAUCCAUUACAUUAUUGUGUUACAAGAAGUGAUGAAUCACACCUUAUAUUAGGUAAGCAAGAGAGAGAGAGAGAGAGAGAGAGAGAGAGAGAGGUUGCUUUUUAAGGAUGCAACACAUGUGCUUUCACAUUUUUGAACAUUGGAUAAAUGUGAAGAUCUAUAUAUAGUAUGAGAAAGUUCAUGAAAUUCUCAAUGUGGACAACAAGUGUGUGUUCACUUACCCAGAAGCAGUACUUCUGACUAAAAAAUCUUCAACAGGAUUUUGCUACACUCAAUGGAAAUUAUGAGUUAUAAGGCCUGUGAUUUUAUAUAUAGCUCAUAUACUCAUAUUAACUUCCUACCACAAUACCGACCGUCUCUAGAGCAAGUGGCAAAAGGCUUGGUGGUUGAUACCCGAGAUCCAAGUUUGAAUCCUAGUUGAUUCACAUUUCCAGCUAAGUUUAUUUCUAAAUAAAAUAAACGAAUCGGGUAGCAUGCUACAUUUCUCUCUCAAAAACAAAAAAAAAAAAAACUUCCUACCACAACUAUCUUUAUUUGUAUGCGGAGUAAUUGUUAUUUAGUAUGACAAAAAAAAGUUGUUUCCAAAGCUAGAUAUUAAAAAUCAAUGCUAACAAAUUAAGAAAAUGUAGAUGUUCUAGAUUUCUAAUUCAUAUACACCAGGCGAUUUGAGCGUCCUUCGUUAAGGAGCAAUCAUCAGUAACGGUGGCAAUCGAACAAUUAGUGCAAAACAUGAUUGAGUGGAUAUCUUUGUCGGCUUUUGAUAGACGGUAAAUUUGAGCAAAGCCUGACCUAGGGCUAGGGUUGAGCCAGAGAAAGUUAGGUCAGCUCGAUCCUGAUGCAACAUUGAAAUAAAAGAACUCAUACAUGACCUAGAUUUUUCUGAACCUCAAUUUUUGACACUUAAGUUAGCCAAAUAAGCAGGUCCAAAUUCGAUCAUUUGACUGAGCAUGUUGGACUUGAUUUGUCGCUGUCUAAUAGAUGAUUCAAAUAAGUAAUGUGUAGAAAUUUUUUGCACAUGUACAAUUUAAACUAAAAAUGUGCUAUAGCAAAAGCACCAAGCUGCACAUGUUGAUGUGCAACUUAACCAUGCAAUGGGUGUCAUUAAAUGGAGGAGCUUCAAAUCUAGCUUGUCCAAUCAUGCCAAUGCCCAAUUUGUAAUUUGUAAAAUGGUCAAGGCCUUCACUUACAUACACCCCUUUUGAGACAUGCAUAACUCCAAUUUUACCCAAACAGUGUACAACAAAUUAAUAGAUCCCCUUUAAGAGCCUUGCUUGGUCAUACACACAAUCACUUAGAUGCAAACUCUAAGGAAGAAUCAUCUUUUUCUAAGAGAGAGGACACCUACUAUCCUCCCAAGCUAUAAGUGGAUUCCUACUAAAAAGGCUCAUUGUUGUUAUCAUACAUCUUUCCCUUCUAAGAGAACUUGUUAUCUACACCAGGUUUAUCCAUAUAUCUCAUGCACCUCAAUCAAUAUGUAACAAACAAGGUCUUUAAAUUAAAAAUUUUAGGGUGCACCAAUUAUAUUGCUGAUAUGGCAUUCCUAACCAAUCAGAUUAUUUUUCUUGAAUUUACCUAUCCCAUCAUGGUCAUUAGAUAAAUAUUUUUAUUAUACUUUUUUUUUUCAAAAAUAGAAGUAUUAUUGGCUGGUUAUUGAUUAUAUAGUAUAAGUGUGGCAUAGAGAACUUAUUCCUUUAAAUCGAGAUCUAGUAUUAUAUUUUUAUUCUACACCAACGAAAAAAGAAUACGUAUUAAAGUUAUGUAAACAUAUUAUCGAGAUAUCAAGUAGUUUCAAAAUAAACGGUUUAAAGAAAUACUCUUUAAUUUAUAAAAAAAACUAAUUUCCAUAAUUUGUGAUAAUUUUCUUUAGUAUAUAGUCCUCUUUUAAUGGUGACAUUCAUGAGAUAGAGCAACAUUAUACACACAUACAUAUUUUAAAGUAUUUUACGACUAUGCUAGUUUAGAUAAUUUUAAUUGCGCCGUUGAUACAAUUUAUAAAAGAAUAGAUCUGAGAGAGACGAACAACAAAGUUGAAGAGUUUUAUGUGCUAUGAACACUGACUGUGACUUUAUGUACUUCGUGAGAUUAUGAAUUCAUUCAAUACAAAAGACAAAGUUAAUCUCAAACAUACGAUCAAAGUACACGAUUUCUUUUUCUCGCAACUUUGACGAAAUAAACAGGUCCUAUCACCCUGUUUGGUUCGGGUGCAAGGGGUAGGAUAAAGAGUUAUCCCAACCUUUAUGCCCAAACAAAAAAAAAAGAGUGAGAUAGCUAUCCCACCUCUUAUGUGGGAAUAGCGGUGGAAACAGUUGUUCUCAUCCCUAUUUAAUUUUUUAAAAAUUUAAAUUUAAAAUUUUAAAAUUUAUAAUUUGUAAUUUUAAAUUAAAAAUUUAAUAUUUUAUAUAUUUAAGUUUUGAUUUAAUUUAAAAUUUAAAAUUUAAAACUUUAAAUUUUUGAUUUUGAGAUUUAAAAUUUUAAAUUUAAUUUUAAAUUUUUAAAAUUUAAAAAUCAGAUAUUUAAAUUUAAAAAAUUAANAGUUGUUCUCAUCCCUAUUUAAUUUUUUAAAAAUUUAAAUUUAAAAUUUUAAAAUUUAUAAUUUGUAAUUUUAAAUUAAAAAUUUAAUAUUUUAUAUAGAGCAAUUUUGCAUUUAGAUAAAAAUUAAAAUUCAAAUAAGAAGAUAAUGGACAAUAUCAUUAUUUUCUAUUUAUAACUAUUCAUUAUUUUUCUUAUUCCAUCUUAUCUAUUCAAACACUAUUUUUUUUUAUUCCCGAUAACAAUUUAAUUUUUAUCUAAAUGCAAAAUUGCUCUAUUGUAAGUUUAUAUCUAAACUUAUAACUAUUUCUGAAAUAAACAACUCUUUUUUAUAUCCGAACCAAACGAAGUCUAUAAGCAUACAC
Molecule: long non-coding RNA, 76788 nt
Filed under: Ananas comosus (pineapple)
Lineage: Eukaryota; Viridiplantae; Streptophyta; Magnoliopsida; Poales; Bromeliaceae
Description: long non-coding RNA (ACOM_LNC001454)
Source: RNAcentral